RNAcentral lists this long non-coding RNA (66481 nucleotides) under Coffea arabica (coffee). RNAcentral describes it as "long non-coding RNA (CARA_LNC003275)". The stretch from base 43586 to 43885 matches the Rfam family "Bacterial large subunit ribosomal RNA", at positions 865 to 1226 of the family's 2925-position model. Lineage: Eukaryota; Viridiplantae; Streptophyta; Magnoliopsida; Gentianales; Rubiaceae. The record is from RNAcentral.
AGGGAAGUUCAAUGCGUAGGCGCAUUAUUUGCUUUGUUCGAAUUUCUUUUGGACUGUUGUGUGCUUUUAGGAUUUCAUUUGUGGGUGUGAUGCUUUUGUUGAUCUUAAUGUUGAUUUUUGGUGAAAAGGAUUCUUUUUCAUGUUCGUUCGCAAAAGCAAUUUGGGAAGCUUCGAUUGAACUUUGUGUUUCAUUAUUUUUCAUGUUCGCUCGUAGUUUCGGAUUUUUGAACUUCGGCUCUGCUUGAUCAUGCUUUUUAUGCCCAUUCUUGUCGGAUUUCUGGUUUCUUGAUUUUAGUUUGUUCUACCGUGUUAGUUUUUGUCAGUGUUUUAGAAAAGGAAAAUUGACGUUUUAGUUUUGUUGUAAAUUAACAAUGGACCUUUUGUUUUGCUUUUGUGCUCAUAUUCUGUAUUUGCAGCUGUUGCUAAAAAAAUUGAUUCAUGUAAUUGGCAGUGAUUUAUGUAUCUUUUUGGUGUUGUCUUGGUGAAAUGCUUGUAAUAAGCAUAGCAAUUACUUGUUUUCUCGUUUUCUAUGGUAUAUGUUCUAGAUCUUCUUUCACAUGUAGAUAUGGCUUUGAGAUAAGUUUCCGACUAAAUGAGGAAAGGUGCAAUUUUGAAUGGUAAACAUGCGGCCAAAUUGCCAAUCACAUGCCAAAUUAUGAACUAGAGCUAUAAGUUGGCAUUUGCAGAUGGUAGUGGGUGUGUCUUCAGGAGUUGGGAGAAUUUGAUUCACAAUUAUAUACCAUUUUAAAAGGCUAUGCUAUGUGCUCAGUAAUUAGACUAGAGAGGAUGAUGCUUCAGUGCUAGAACUUAGUGCAAGAGGAUACUGCUAUAUUAUUUGUGAUUUAAGUAAGUCUCAAUCAACUUGCACAAUGGUGAUCUUUGUACUAGUUUUCUAGUUCGAGUAAGAAUAAGUACUUUGUAAUAUCUGUUUUGCUUGCUUUCCUGGAAUUUAAGUUUUCUCCUGAUUCCCAUGCGUAUAUCUAUGGCUAAUAUACUGAUAUUGUUUGACAUGUAACUGGUUUUGGUUUCCUCUUUUUAUUUCCUCUAGAUUUGUUUCUGGUCCUUUAUUCCUGUAUAUGAAGUUAUGAGUCAUGCCCUUGCAGCAAAUUUCACUGCUUCUGGAGAGCAGUAAAUUGGAGAUAAAAUAUCUCUUGGAAUGGAAGGGAACCAUGGUAAGCACGGCUACAGACUGAUAGUUGGAGAGGAAUUUCUGCACUCAUUUAACUUUCUAACUUUAAUUCCUUUUGCAGGAGAAAGGAAUUACUGACCUUGAAUCAUGGAAAGAAACUUAGAAAUUAUCAUUGAGCAGGUUUCAACCAAAACCCAUUAUCAUUUUGCUUGAAACUAUUGCCAUUGCCUAUUUGAGUGCCAGGGGUGGUUAGAACAUUGAACUUGUGAUAUGAUCACCCCUAAAACAACUUUGAAUGCCAAGUAUAAUAUUCUUUCUACAUGUUUUAGGAGGGAUAGUUGGAAUGGUUUUGUGAUACAUAUUACAUGAUUAUGCAUGUAUAACAUGUAUGAAAAGUAUGUUUUGCUGUGCUUGUUUUCCGACUCGUACCCGUUUCAAACAAAAAAUCCAUUAUUGCUUGAGAUUUAAAGCUUUGAUACUAUAGACCAUAUUUCUUGACAUUUCUUUAGUUCAGAGUUUCUUCACUCUUGAGGAGUUAAAUAAAUGUAUCAUAUGGUUUUGUUACCUGAAAGUUUAGCUGCAUUUUCAGCUUAAGUUAGUUCCCAUUGGUAAGAUGACUACAUUAUCAAUGGUGUCUCUUUUUUUGGGAUUGCAGGUGACUGCUUGCAAGCUGUGGCGGCAAGUUGGAGAAUCUUUUAAUCCUCCAAAGUAAGGGCUGCUGUUCAUGAAUUGAUUGUAAUUGAAUGACAUCUUGUAUCCAUGUUGUCUGUUGCUUAAAUUUUUUUUUUUUUUACUUAAGUUGACACUGGGCAUGCUAAGUUUAAUACAACUUUUAAGAUAACUAUGAAACAAAAUUCUAAUUGAACUUUAACCUCCUCAGCAAUUAUCUAAUUGUGUUAUUCGUAAUAAGUAAAAUGUGUACUGAAAAUUUUGAUUCUUAAAGAAAUGGGAAGAGGAAUGGGGGACAUAGUUGAUUUGCAUGUGUGUCAAUUUCAUAUUCUUGCCUCUGUAUUCUUUAUGUUCAUCAAAAGUUCCUUUAGGCUUGUUCGUCGGAGCCAUUGGAACACUGAAGGCUCUAAAUUUUUGUGCCACUCUGCUUCAUUCUUAUCUCCAAAAUCGUUUGCUUGCCCCCUAUCCUCAAUUAUUUAUAAGCCUUGGGCAAUAAAUGGUGAGUGGUUGACCUCCUAAAUAUUUGUCUUACCACAAAUGUUUGCUCUUUUACUGUGGCCAUCCUAUGAUUGUUCUCCCAGUAUAUUUUCCCCCUGUUUGCAACAAUAAAAUCUUAUUAAAUGUCAGUAGGGUUAGACUAGAGGCUGUUGUCCCGUUAUUACUAUCCUCAAUUUCCUAAAAGUAUUAAGAGAUUAUCCACAUAUUCGGAUUUUAAGAUUACAGUUUACUUUUCCUAGUCUUUAAUUGCCUCUAAAUCUAUUCUUAUGUGCAUUCCUUUGCUAACAUAUUAUUUUUAUGAAUUUACUUGGAAGUGUUUGUACUCUUUCUCCUCAAGAUUAGUAUGCAAAGUUGCUUUAUGUUGAUUCUCCCAAGUUUAUGUCCACGUCUCAACUUUCUGUACCUUUGAAUUGCCUUCAACACCCAUCUGUCUUUUGGCUAUAAAGAUUAGACACGAGAAUUUGAGAAUAAAGAAAUUCAAAUGCUAUUGAUGUGGCAUUAUCUUCAAAAUUUGUUGUUGAUUAUGCAUUAGAUGUGCCAUCGAAUGAUUUUUCAUAAUCUAUUCUACAAACUAGAUAUAGGCACAUGGUCCAUAACAUGGCGCAACAUAUUUAUUAUAUCAACACUGCUGUUUUCAAACUCUUUAUAGUCGGUUACAUAUGAUGAUUAUCUUAAAAUAUCUAAUUUUGUAUUUCUUCAUAUUUAGCAGAGCAGACCUGCACUCUCACUUGCAAACCUACCCAACUAAUACCAACUUGCAAUCUGAACCAUAAUUUUCAAACUCAACUUUGGAGCCUCAAUACCACCUAAUAACAAAAAUACAUGUUGUGCAUGCCAUUCUAUUAUUUCUCUGAUUUCAAAUUUUUCUUGGUUUUAUUGUACAGGUUUGGGAUGAACUUGUGGAUUGAUUUUGGCUCAUGCUGAAGAACUCCUCUAUUUUGAUAUCAUCCAUCUCUAGUUUUUGUUGACCAUGGAAUUGAAGUCCAUCUUUUGGUUUUAGCAUAUGUUAGGUAUAUGGCAGUUAUCUAGGGAGAAAUAGCAAUAUUUAUAUUGGUUUCAAAUCGUGGAAUGGGAUGAUAUGUAAAUGUUUGACAUGGUUAACUUUUGUGGUUUGACAUAUUAUGGUUGCCUACUAAUGAUAAUUUGUGAAGUUUUGGUUGAUAUUUUGCUUGCAUACUUUUAUAUUUUGAUUGGAUGGAGUGUCUAAAUAGAUGAUAUGGUCACUUUGUUGGCACUAAAAUUGUUGGGCUUAAAAGUGAUGCAGCUGUCGUCAGGAAAAAUGACAUUGUAUUGUCGUUAAAGUUUCCUGACAAGUUUCAAUGUGUGACUAUUCUUGACAAUUGAAAAUUUAGUAACAAAGUUCAGGGUCUUUCUUGACAAAGGCUCGUCAACAAUAUGAGGUCUUUUCCUGAUGACCAAAUCAUCACUAUUACCUUUCCUGAUGAUGCGUCACAAAAAAUAAAACUUUUCUUGACGAAAAUUUCAAUAGUUGUCAGGAAAACCAUUUGCCGACGGUGUAUAGGUGACCAAUCUUCUCUGACGAUGUUGGUGUCACGAAAACUUUUCCUGACGAAACGCGUACCUUUUCUCGACAAAAAUUGUUGUCACUAGAAAUCUUUUUUUUUGUAGUGGCAUAUAGUGCUAUUUUAUGUUAUUUCAAAAUUUCAAAUCCACCCAACAGAUUUAACCCCAAAUUUGGCCAAUGAACAGCUGCAAUUUUUUAAAUUAUUCCUACAUUUUUAUCCAAACAAUUUCUAGAUAAGAAGAUUGACCCCAUAUGUAUAAAACUUAUACUUUAGCAACCAAGACUAUGAACACAUGGUUCAUCUUCCCCCAUUAAUUAAAGAAUUAAGUGAGAAAAACUUACAGAUUUAGGAUCCCAAAUGAAUGUAGUGUUUACCCGUUUGAGAGAAGCAAAGCUGCUGCCCCCGCCCCAUUUCUGUCCCACCGGCAUAAUUAUUUUGUGAUGUUGUCAUUUUCUUUUGUAUUCAAAUUAUAGAUUUAUUAAUAUCAAAAAAGUUAAAAUCCAUAAUUAAGCAAAGAGUAGUUUUUACUGGUUAUGAUUAUUCUCUUUAACCACUUUUCAUAACUAUUGGUACAUCAUAAAAUGCAAUAAAGUAUGUUGGAGAAGAAUACUAACCUGGUUAAUAUAAAUGGCAUCCCAACUAAAGGGCCAAUCUAGUACGAGUCCAAAACAUUUAGAAGCCUCUUGGUUAUGCGUGUGCUUGACUUUCUUACCUCCAAUAUAUUAUAAGACUAAGUUAAUUACUUAUGUAAAAAAGUAUUUUGUUGCAUUUCAUGUUCAUCUUAUCUUCUUUCUUUUAGUUGUUGUAACGAUCAGUAUCUUUUGGUAGAUAUAAUUAUCGGUACACCACAGAAUAUGGUAAAGUACACUACUCUGCUAGAGAAGAACAUCAACUUCAUUGAUAUGAAUUGCACCCUAUCUAAGGAAGGCAAUUUAGCGUGACUUCAAAGUAUUUCAAGGCUAUUUGGUUAUGCAUGCGGUGACCUUCUUACAUUAAAUAUAUUAAGAGGUUAAAUCAAUUAUUCAUGUAAAAGGGUACCAUGUUGCAUUUCACACUUAUUUUUUUAUUUUAGUUGUUGUACCACUUAAUAUCUUGGCUAAUUCCUCCAUUUAUUGUUCAAAAAAAAAAUCGUGUAAGUAUUGAUCUGACAGGCUACAAAAUUUUAUUUUUUAAAAAUUGCUGUGCUCAGCCCGGCAGCCGUCAUCAAAAGGCCCAAAAAAAAAAGCCUGCGUGGCCCCAGUAUUGUCCUUUAUGCCGCCAUGUGGGCAUGCCUAGAUUGCCCCAACAAAUGUUGAUGUCAUCGGGUGAAAUGCCUUCCCCUGCAGCAGCAAUUACAAUUAGGCAGGAAAGAUGUGAAUAUCCGGCUAAAAGAUUCGGAAGUAGCAGUUGAUCCUAUAACGGAGUAUAGCUAUAAUCAUUUGGUUGAGCCUCAAUCCUUUCUCUUUCUCCAUUUCCAGAUACAACGCCAAUGCAUCUGCGUACUCACCGUUUUGCAAGUAGCCCGAUAUCAUUGUCGUCCAAGAAAUCACAUUCCUGGAAAGCAUAUGAGAAAACAAGCGAGAAGCUUCCCUCAUAUCCCACUCUUUGGGUGACCAACGAUCAAGGCAUUCCAGGUGGGCACAUCUCUUGUGGACAUCCCAUCGAACUUUUUUUCUUUUUUCCUUUUGACGAUCGCUACCGGGCUGUAUAGCCAUCAGCUUUUUUUGUAUUUUUUUUUUAAAUUCAGGUGGCUACCCGGCUUAGUAAGCCCACAGGAAUAGUUCAAUAUUUCCUCUUUGUCAGAUCAAUACUUGCACGAUUUGGUUUUUUAAACAAUAAACAGAGGAAUUAGCCUAAUAGCUUUUGGUAGAUAUAAUAGUAAUAUACACCACUUUGAUAGAAGAAAAUACCAACUUGUUUGAUAUGAAAUGCAUCCCAAUUAAGAGAAAAAGUUAGGACCAAUUAAAAGUAUUUAGGGACCUCUUGGUUAUGCGUGUGGUUGAUCUUCUCACAUCAAAUAUAUUAUAAAGUUGAAUUAAUUACUCAUCAAAAAAGUACCUUAUUGGAAUCACACACAUAUUUUUCUUUUAAUUUUCUACCGUUUAGUAUUUUUGGUAGAUAUGAAUAUCAAUACACCGUAUAAUGCAGUAAAGUACACUAUUAUGAUAAAGAUGAACACCAACUUAGUAGAAAUUCAACGAAGUACUCUUUCGCAAUCGUAUUUGACUUAGUCUCACAAUAUGUACGAUGUGAGAAGAUUAAUCAGACGAAUAACCAAGAUCCUUCUUAAUAUUUUGAACAUGUGUUCUGAUGAAAUUGUAAAUCAUGGUUGCCAAAAAUUAAAUAUUAUGAAUCACUAGUAGUGUAUAAUGGUAGUUUUGAUUAUUACUCUAUAAUGGUCUUAAUUACGCAUUAGAAUCUUUGUUGUAAGGGAUCGAUGGAUAAAGUAAUAAUCCAGUAACAUUAGUUUACGAAAAUUAUAAAUUCGUAUUAUUAGCCUUUUUUUGGUCCUAGGUAUGAUACUAAAUUAGCAUUUUGGUCAUGUUAGUGUAAUUUUCUCUCUGUGUAUAAAUAUUUAGAGAAUGAUGCCAAAACAGCAUGGAUUAGAACGAAAAGACAACAAACAAAGCAUGACACAAAUUAAAAUGCCAUCAUCGAUGAAGGUAUUUCAAAGUCCCAAAAGUUGGAAAUACAUAAUCGACAAAAUAUUCUUUUAAUCUUAGAAAACAAAAAAAGACUAAAAAGUACAAAAUUAUAUCUUCAAAACAAAAAUAAGUUGUUAAGCAUCAAAAUUUAUUUGACAUGAGCUAAAUCCAAUUUAUCCUAACUUCAUAUUAGGGGCAAGUACAGUUGGUAUUUGUGUACAAUUGUCGGUGACGGGUAUUUUACAUACGUGCAAGCUAAAAAAUACCGAAUUACACCCGUUCACUGCAAGUAUACAGAUCAACUAGUAGUUUAGGGUAUAUAUCGGGUCGAUCCCACAAGGAAGAGUGAACAAUUACCGGUAUUACUAAAGCUUCUCUAUUAUUUAGACUAUCAAUAAAUUAUAACAAAUUUAACCUACUGAAAUUAUACAAAAUGACAAAUGAAAGCUCCUUAGGUUGUGGUAUCCCUAACUACUCAUGCAAGUGCUAUAUUUGGAUCAUUGAAUACUACAUCUAGGCUAAUUAUGGUGUAAUUUCCUUAUGCAUUUGAAUCCUACUUUCGUAGUGAAUCAAUUAUACUUAUAACUAAUCCAUACCUAUUCUCAUGGUUAUGAAAUUAGUUACAAGUUCAUUUCUUCAGUGAAAUUACAUGAAAUGAAUCACUAAAAACCACAUAGGUGCACCUCUACUCUCGUGAGUGUACUCCCUAUGUUUAGCACUUCUUGAACUAAUGUUAAAUCUCAAUUUUCAUUGCAGAAAUAACACCUUAGAUAAUCAGAAUUAAUGGUACCAGAAUAAUCAUGAUUUAAAGAGCCAAAGUGCUAAAUAACUUGCUCAAAUCAUAGCAGUUAAAUAGCCAAAUGAUAAACACUAACAAUCAUAGAAAGUUCAACCAAACCCAAGGCAUAAACUUUAGAAACACAUAAUAGACAUAAAUUCCAGAACUUGCAUAUUAACUAUAUUUAAGAAUCCAAUACAAAAGAUAAAGAGUUGGAGAAGAGAUAACCCAUGUCACUUGAGCUUCAACUUCUCUUUCUUCAUCUCCAUUUUCAUCCUAAUCUAGCCAUUAUACAAGAAUGGAUGAACUACACUUACUACACUAUCCUACACUAAGGAAAUGGAAGAACUACAUUUCUGCACUCUUCAAGCUUCUCCUGUAUAUUUUCCAAUGUCCUCAAAUGUCUCUGCAUAUAAGCUGAUGAAAAGUCCUUCCCUUACCAGUCAAAAAUUUCUGCUAUGAUUCUCCAAAUCUGAAUUUGUUAAGGGAGUCAAAAAUAAUGGCUUUUGACUUGGAACCUUGGCUAUAUCUCUUCCUUAUGUCUUCUGAAGCAUGUGCAGCCUACGUUUUCUCUCCAACUCUAGCUGGAAAGUAGUGUGAAGAUGAGAAAAAUGGCUGAGCAAAUUACAGAAAUUCGGCUGCCAUACACGUUUUUACUUUUGACCUCACUUCAACUGCAUUUUUCUCCAUGAUGAAGGCCGAACUGGCUUUUGUGCGAAACACAAAAGUUGUAGCCCUUUGAAUUAGAGAUCCAAUGCUUCAAGAAUCAUCUAAUUUGGAGAUCGGUGGACGGAGAUAUGGUCAAAAUACCAUAGACUGGUCAAUUCUGGGCUUCAGCUUUCGACCAUCCAGAUAAGUUUCUGUGUUUCGACCUUUUGACCAAGAAAACGGCUGAAUUGGAUUUUGAUGUCUUCAUACCAAAUGUAGAUAUAUCUCUUAGCUUCAAAAUGGUACCAAGAUCACCUUGAUCCGAUCAUUGUAGCUCCUGAUAUAGUGAAAAUACGAAAAUGUGUCUGAGUUGUCAAAGCUGACUUUUCUUGAUUUUUGUCCUCAAAUUGCAUUUCUUCCUUUUACACUUCAUAUUUUAUUUUCCCCACUUUAAUCCAUCUUCAAUUAUCCAAAUAUCUUCUCAAUGCACUUCAUUUGAUGAUUGAAUCAUUAAACCUACAAAAUAUGAAGUUUUUACCAUAAAAAUCCAUAAAAUGCAAUGUUUAGCCACUUUAACAUAAAAUGUAGUUUUUUACCAAAACCUUAGUUAUUUUAGUUAUAAAACUAAAUAAUCAAACCAAAAUUAACUAAUAAAACACACUAAAAAAUACGUAAAAUAAACUCUUAUCAGUCGGUUAUUGCACCUUUUACAUAAUAUAGUGCACAUUUAUAUAACUUUGUUGUAUCCAUAAAUUUUAUUUGUUUACACCAAAUCAAUGUAUAAAUACAACUACAUUUGUAAGUGUAUAUCAAAUUGUAGAUGAAAUACAUCAUCAUUAUCUAACCAAACCUAAGCUUACCGUACCUACCCCGAUCCCCCUAACUUCUGGUUUCUCAUUGCUUGUGCCACUAGAGUUUGGCUAUGAAGUCAACAUGAUACUAGGAUCUUGAGCACAUAUGAAGUGCAUUGCAAUUGCAGGUCUGGAAAAUUUACUUGACCAUAAAAAGCAACUUAAAAAGCCCAUUGCUUUGCUAUCGUUUAACUAUAAAGUCAGGUAGAUGCUUUAUCUGCAAAACGAACACAUCAUCAUCAAAGUAUUACUAGAAGAAUUUUCAAGUAAAUUCCACAAUAUUGCACAAAAAUCAUUACCAUGUAAGAUGAAUCCUGUGAAAAUAGAUUAAACCAAUAACUAGAGACAGAUUUUUGGCAAGAAAAAACAACCACUUAUUUGAAAUUUAGUCUACACCGAAUUGAAGGAGAAUGAACUACUCAUAAACUUUCCAAAGACUUUCAUUCACACAAUAAUAUUUUAUGCGAUUGAAUUUUAAGUUCAUUCACUUCAUCAUCUUGAACUUUGAACAAGUUGAUUUGUAGAACCGAGCCAUUUAUUAAUCAUCCUUAAAUGCAACCAGAAAGAAUUUGCUAAAUACAGUGCUAGUUAUAACAUGUUUUCCAAGGGAAAACAAUGCAAAUGGGCUUAGCUAAAACUCAUAAACCAGCCAAAUUAAAUAGAUAAAGAUCAAAAACAUCAAAACGGUUUAGUAAGACAACAAUUUUUACUUCAGCUUGGUCACUAGGUCGACGAGGAAGGCAAUCAACCCUGAGAGAUACUCCUAUGGCGUUCUUGCAAGGAUCCACAAACUUCUUUAUAGAUUGCCUUGAACUCAGAAUUGGAAAAUGACCGCGGCAAAUACGGUCAAUGAAAUUACUAGGUGAUAACAAGAUAUGCCCUAUUUCUCCCUGUUCCAACAUUUCGUCCUUACUUUGCCUUCUCAAAGGCUUUGACAUGAGCAUUAACAACCCCACAAUAUCUCAAGAAAUCACAUAGCAAGAGUCAAAUUUUGGAACUGAGCAAUGUAGAAUAAAGUUGAAAUUAACAUAAAUAAAUUCUAGUUGAACUUUAGAAAACAUGAAAAGUUCACUUCAAAGUAAAUUAGCGGGAAUAACUUGCAAACCUUCCUCAUGGGUAUUAAAUCAAACACACAUACUACCUCAAAAAAUUAACCUUUGAAGCCAAAAAUCAAUGUAAAUGGACAUAAAAACAACAACGAAGAUUAAAUAUAGGCUCAUUAUAAAGGAGAAAAAAUUGUUCCUGAUUAAAAUUUACAACUUGAAAGUUUAAGAGUAGAACAAAAAAUCUACCUGACAUUUAAUCAAACACUAGGGGAGCAUCCACAAAUAUAAUAAUUAAAUGAUCAUCACAUGUUAUACUCCGUACUCUCGAGUUAUGAUAAACAAAAGGAUCCAAAUAUCCCAAACACAACCUUCAGAAAACAAUCCGCAUAUAAAAAUGAAAAAAAUAGUACAUAAUUAAAAGAUCAAGGGGCUUACAUCAAUCAGAUGAUAACCAACCAAUCUGUAAUGGAAUUGCGACUGUCAUCCUGCUUUAAGAUUGCCUAAUUGAUUCAUGACUUUCUUUUUUUUAUUGCCCUUUCUAUUCAUUGUUGGUGUUCGGAGUAACAUAGAGAGGCUAACAAUACAUCAUUCUUUUGUUAGAGUUUCUUCAAUGUGUGAGGAAGAUAAAAGGAAAAACUUGGAAGUAAGACAAUUGAAAAUUUUGAGAUUUCAAAACUUCAUUGGAUGGAAGCCAACGGUGUCAAUGAAUUUAUUUUUGCAGAGGAGUUUAGAAUUUAUCAUCCAAUACUUUUCUAUGAUAUUUUAGGAAGGAAAAAAAAAACCAGUGGCCCUGAAACUUUCAGCCGUGUAAAGUUUUAGCUCUCCAACUAGAGCUGCAAACGAGUCGAGUCGAGUCGAAUUUUGGCCUAAUCGAAUCGAGUCUUCACAUAAUUUUAGUGAACUCGAAUUCGAACUCGAGCUCGACGAGUCGAAAAUUUCAACCUCGAGCUCGAAAAAAAUUAAAAAUAAUUAUUUUUAUUUUUAACAAAUAAAUAAAAUAAUAUUUUUUUAAAUAAAUAAUAAAAUAUUAAGGAUAUAUAUGUAAUUUUACUAUUAAAAUAAAAAAUAAAAAAUAUAUAUAUACUUAAAAUAAUAUAUAUAUAUUUAUGCUCGAGUUCGCGAGUCUAACGAGCUUAAUAUUGUGACAGCCCCACCUUCCCCUAAAGCGAAUCAAAGGGUUCAGCGGACCACUUGCCCAACUCUCGCCAGGGCUCGAGCACUCUAUUCAGAUAAAUAUUACAAAAUCUCGAGGAAAAGUAAAACAAAACCAAUUCCCAGACUUGAAACGCUUACUUACAUUCAUUUCUAUCUCAAAAGUAAUACAAUCCCAAAUGUAGAAAAGCUUUAGAUUCCCAAUACUUCCAACCCUAACCAAGCACUAGAGCGAGUACAAUUGCAAAAGAUAUCUUCAAAAGGACUAGGUUAUGCUAUUCUAUACAAGUCUCUCGCCCUUGCUCGUAUCCCCUGUAAGGAAAACAAAACUAACGGAAUGAGCUAAAAACCCAGUGAGGUUUCAGACACAUAAACAAACAAUGAGUUCAAUACAUUAACCAUAGAUAGCAAGUAAUUCCAGAAACAUGACAAUAUAAAGCAAUAAUAACAUUCAAUAAAAGGAUACGUGCUCACAUGAAGUCAUUCAUUCAUUCAUUCAUUCUCCUUUCAUUUCCUUAUUUCUCCAUUCGUUUGCAAAUGCAUUUUGAUAAGUAAAACCCUUCAUUUAUAUUGACAUUCGUUCAUUCAUUUUAUUCCACUCCCUCCUGGACGUUGGCCAGGCUCCACCAGACUACACGGUAAUACUCGAGUAUACCAAACGUUCACCCAGAGUCACCAAAUCGCCCGACCGAGUCAGCUUCUGGCUCGAGUCGACCGGCAACGAAGGGCAAGGGCUCAGUUUAGCCAAACGGCUUACAUUCAUGCGCAACUAGCAUUUAAUUAUUUAAUCAUUGAAAAUUUCACAUUCAUUUAGGUCGAGUGCGAUAAAGUACACACUUGUGAGAGUCUUGAAAAAAAAAAUAUAUAUAUAUAUACAUAUAUACAUGUUGCAACUGCAUUUUAGACUUUUAAUAAAUUUUAUUAUUAGUUGUUCUUAAAUAAGUAUGUAAAAAUAAUUUUUAGAUUACAACUAAUUUAAUUGUGUAAAAUAUUAAAUUAUUUGAUUUUUGCCAAGUUAAAUUAAUAUUUCUUGUUGUAGAUUAUUUUAUUGCUUUAAUAUUAAUUCUUUGAAUUCCGAUAGCUAAUAUUAAGUGUUAAUAAUGUUAAGUGUCAACGGGAACCUAGAAUUAAGACGAAAUCGAUUUUAGGUCAAAACCCUUUAUAAUUUCACUUAGGACGUUAAAAUCUCGAUAAUUGAAUUUUUGGCCAGAUUAGUAUACUAGUAGGCUAUCAAAUUUCAUUUGGGGUAAAAUUUUAGAAUUUGAUUACGAGUAAGGACUUAAGUGGAAGGUCGGACAAGAUGUUAAACGACCAAUUUAGCCUUCCUCCAUCGCAAAUUAACCAUGCAGCCAUGGAACCUCCUUGGGUAAGCUUCAAAUCCAAGCAUUUCCAUCUUGCCGGUUCCAUUCUCCACAUCAACACUCAACCUUCCAUCUUUGCCGACUCACCCUCACUACACACACUCCACUACAUCAGCUUCAAUUCACCACAACACUCCAUUUCCAUUUCCUUCUCCUGCCGUGAACCGAGAGUGAAGUGAGAGAGAGAGGGAGCCGAGCUCUUUAUUUUCUUUCCUUUCUCUCUGUCCGUAAGCUAGAAAGAAAAAAAGAGAGACCUGCCGUUCUUCCUUCAUUUCAUCCGUGAGCUGGUGAAGAGCACCGAGAGCCAACACUUCCAUCAUUUCGUUUGUAAGCUUGAGCAAGGGGGAGAGAGUCGGUGAGCUGCAUUUCUGAACUGUCCGAGAGAGAGAGAGAGAGAGAGCAAGAGGUAGUGUGCGAGCUAUCUGUCUUCAUCUCCUCCAUCACUGCCGAGCUGUUCAUUUCCUUCCUCAUCUUCAACCAGAUGCGAUCAGCCCAACAACCAACACCACAGCCUGCCCAAACUGAGCUCAGCCAGUUAUACCCGAGUUCCUUAGCAAGCCGAAAGGAGAGAAAAAUUGCAGCUGCUUGUCGCGUGUGUUGAGCUUCAAGUUGAGGUAAAAUCUGGACUUAGACCAGUUAAUUAUAGGUAGAUGAUGUUGUUUAUGGGCAUGCAUGUGAUGGUUGUGCAGUUGGAUGAUGAAUUAAGUCACAGGAAAUCUGAUUAUGAAGAGGAUGGGAAUUGCCGAGAGCUUGAGCUGGGAAAUGCAGCUUUAAUUUGUUAAUUUGAGGUGAUCUGAGCCUAGAUGUGUGCUUAGCUAACUAAAAAUUGGAUGAUUAAGCAUUGCAUGAGGUUAAUCAGUCUUGAUUAAGCAAGAAAAUCAAAGUGAUACAGAAUCUGCUUGCAUGCAAGCCAACCGAGAAGACUUGGAUGAAAUUCUGGUUGGCUGGUGACCUUUGAUGAUGUCCGAACCUGGCUUUGGAUUAAAACUGAUAGUCAAUUAAUUAAUUGGUCAUGCAUGUUGCUGAUUGAGCCGUGACUUUCCUAUUUGUUUUGGGUUAAAUUUCUGGUUGAUUUGAUGUAAGGAGUGAUUGUUUGAUGCCAAGAGCUAAUGAUUGAUGAAGCUCUUGGCCAUUUGAGUAAUUUUUGCAAGAGUUAAAUUUUUGGUGGAAUUGUUUAAGUGAUUUGGCCGAAAUGCGCUUGGAAAGUCCAUGAAUUGUGGUUUGGAAUGGUUUUGAUGUCUUGGACUUCCUUUGUUUAAUUUUGAUUAGAAUUGAACUUGUUGAGACCUAGGGCUAAUGAUUGAUGAAACCCUAGUGAAAUUGAUGUUUGAAUUGUGAUUUUUCUAUAUUGGCAAAUUGGAAUAUAAUGUACAAGUGAAUUGGAAUCGUGAAAUCCGUUUUGGUCCUUUGAAUUCGAGUAAUUGUUAACCAAGCUUUGUUGGAAUAUAGUGUCCUAGUAUCAAGAUAUGGAAUUUGUGUAUAGCGCGAUAAUGCUAAAAUUCGAGUGUCGAGACUUUUAAAACCUUGCCAACUAGUUAAUUCUUUACUUUGCUUAAACUAGCCUUAUUACUUUUAGGAAAUGAUUGCACUAACUUUCAAACUCUAAAAUUUUUCGUAAAACUGACCCUGGCUAGUUGUUUUUGAGGAAAAUUGUCAAAAACACGAGAUGUUAAUAACAUUAAAUGAAAGGCGGAGAAAACUUAUUCGGCAAGAAAACUUAUUUGAAGUAAGUUGGUUCUGGUUUGCACCUCUAGAAAGAAAGUACCUUCAAAGAAACCAUAUGAAAUACUUUAUCACUUUUACUAGUUUUAAUUCUAAGAGAAUUGAGGAUUUAUUUUGAGAAGAUAAACUAGUUAUAUACCGGAUAAUCUUUUAUAUAUAAACCAAGAAUUUGUAUAGUAAAACUUAUAGUUUUAAAACUUGGUCUUUUAGGGUUUAGCGAGGACGUGGGUUUCGAUUCCCAACUGGACUUUUGAGCUUCACUUUUGGUGAGUGUCCUUGCUUGUUCUAUGUUUAUCUUGUUAAGGCGCUUUCUUGACUUGUUAUGUGAUAAUCGGAUAGUGAUUUUCCUGAUCCAUCGAAAUGGGUAGUGUGUACUUUAUCGCGCUAGCCUUUCGAGUGGUGACUUACUUGAAAUGUUUUCUCGAAUAUCUUGCUCGCACUAGUUAAGUACUGAGUGGGGGAAUGUACCACACCUGAGGGUGGGAGGGCCUCUUAUCCUAACUCAAGCAUCAAAAAAACCUUGCAACUGUUGACUGGAGCGUGGACUCGUCAACUAAACCACCAGGCAGGGGAAUGUACCACACCUUAAGGUGGGAGGGUCUCUUAUCCUGACUUGGUAACCCCUUGUUGUGACGUCGUUGGGUGAAUCCCUCGACUAGACUAUUAAAAGGUAUACUCGAGUAAUACCAAACUUCCUAGUGAGAAGAACGGGCCCGGUGGGAGUAAGUUGGUUGGAGCAUGUUAAGAUAAAAAAAAAAAGUUCUACGUGGACUUUAGAUAGUGAGAGUUGACGGAGGGUCAACUGCGGUUAAUUUUGAUCAAGUUCGUGGAAAAUGGCUCCUGAGAGCCCUGUAUCCUACCCUGUGCUGUUAUACGCUUUCCUACUUGUUGAAUUUUAGUUUGGAGUUAUUAUUCGCUAUUUUUUUAUAUGAUUGCAUGUUCGGGGCACCACUGAGUUUUAGUUCACCCCAUGUUACUUGUUUUCCUUAACAGGUUCCGACAUUUGAGAGACCUGAAGUCUGCCUUUACCUUUUAUGAAUGUUGUUUUGAAUCAGACUAUGUAUCUUUCGUUUUGGGUUGCCACUUGAAGCUGGAAAAGUGCAAAACCUGAGUUUUGUUUGGCUUGUAGGAUUGUAUUUGAAUUCUAUGAUUUCACUUUGUGGUUUGUAACGUGUGAAUGUAGUUGUGUUGUAAACUGAUUGGAGGUGUACUUAAGAGUGGAUGUUCAGUCGUCCAGUGGUAAUAUUAUCUCUGAAGUUAAUGUGUUUCUAGUAGUUUUGGUUGUUUUAAGGAUUGGCUUGUUCGGGUGACGAGUUUAGUAAUGGUUUAAGCUAUACGUCGGGAAGGUUUAGCCAGUUUACUUGUGUGAGUCCUGGCGAGAGCCAGGCAGACGACCCGCCAACCCUUUGGUUCACCUUAGGGAGAAGUGGGGUCGUCACAGUUGGUAUCAGAGUUUAUGUUAGAAAAAUUAUUUGAAAGAUAUAUUAGAUGUGAUAGAAACCCUGAACCUGUUUAGAGUUAAGAAGUGAGAUAAUUAGACACAUCUUAAGUAGUACUUGAGCAAGUUAGCUAUUUAAGCAUUAACUUUUGGAUUUUGGUUAUUUUGCAGGUAUGAAAAACGGAAACGGACAUACUAAUGGUAACGGAUUGGCUAAUGGACAUGUAGAGCCUCUUAGGUCCAUCUCCUAUAGACCACGAGGCGGAGGAUCUCGUAUACGUUAUACACCAGCUGAUAGGUACCCCUGAUGUCAGUGUAGGGUCACAUAUGCCUACCCUAACGAGUUAGUACUGUCUUUAGAUGACGAGCGUCGCCAGCUGAGGGACGCUAAUCAUACUUUGACCCAGGACGUUGAGGAGUUGAGCAUCAUGGUUAAUACUCAGCUUGACCGCAUAGCUGAUCUAGAGCAGAGGUUAGCAGCCGAGAGGGCUAGGUCAGAGGUUGCUCGUGAGGAGUUACAGAGACAGAGGUCUUGGUUGACUCGAGUAGCUGAGGAGGUACGAGAUAGGAGUGCUGGUAUCACGGCUGACGUCACUAUGAUGAUAGACGAGGUCAUGGGUAUCAUUCAGAGUACUGCUCAGGCGGGUGUUGGGGAGGAGGAUCCGGAGGAGGACCCUGAGAAGGAUGUUGCCCCUGGCAGCUCUGCUGAGGGUUAGACUAGGUUUGAUUUGCUUGUAACUAAGUAUUCGGAGUUAGAUAGGGUGACACUAGUUUAGGUCAUAACAUUUUGUCUAACUUGAUGGUCUACUUUUGAGGCACUACAUCCCUAUUUUUGGUUUAAGGGACUGUUUGUAUAUAUUUGUUAAACUUAUGUGUCAUACUUUUGGAGAGCACCCUAACUUGCUAUUUGUAUGAACCUCGGUAUGUGAAUAUGUGUGAAGUGUUCUAUUUUCUUUUUCCUUAAUAUUCAUGUUGAUUUUAUUUACAAAAAGAAAAAAAAGAUUAAAUUAAUUAAUUAAAAUAUCCUCGCUUAAUUGCUUUAUUUUUUUAUCACUAGGCAUAACUAGGCUAUGGAUCGACAAAUUAGAGGUAGAGAACGUGGGAGAUCAACUAGACAACACCCCGAGGUUGGUGGUGAUAGGGAACCUGAAGUCAAUCAAGACCAUGGUCAAUAGGGCGCGGCUGGAGACCCAGUGGCCAUCGCGAUCAAUAGAAUAACUGAUGUCUUAGAGCGCAUGACUGAGCACCAAGCCCUUGGACCAGUGCAUCACCAAGGAGGCCCAAUCGAUACUGAGGAUCGGGCAUUAGAGAGAUUCUUGAAGUUUGGACCUCCUAAGUUUUAUGGAGGACCAGAACCUGAGGUAGCAGAAGGUUGGUGGGAGAGGAUAUCUGACAUUUUUGCAGCUCUAAAUUAUGCGGAGGAGAGACAAGUGACUUUCGCAGCAUUCCAGUUUGAGGGAGCUGCUCGUUCCUGGUGGAACCUAGUUAGGGUUAAUUGGGACAGGAACCAUAUUCCAAGGACCUGGGCGAACUUCACAAGGGAGUUCAACGCCAAGUUUCUUCCCCCUCUCAUUCAAGAGAAAAGAGAGGAUGACUUCAUCAAAUGUAGGCAGGGGGCGGUGAGUGUCGCCGAAUAUGAGAUUCAAUUCACAAAAUUGUCCCGUUUUGCUCCUGAAUUGCUAGCCACGGAGCAAAGAUGUAUAAGGAAGUUUGUGCAGGGAUUAAAAGUGGAGAUCCAGGAGGGAUUAGCUGCUGUUCGGAUAGACACAUUUGCUGAUGUUGUAGAGAGAGCUCAAAGGGUUGAAGUUGCCAGAGCUCAAGUAAAAUCUUUCCAGGCCAAGAAAAGAUUUGCCCCUAGCAGCAGUUGGGAGCCGACUUAUGCAAAUGCUCCACCGGCCAAAGUGGGUCGAGGAACGGGUGGAAUAAAUAGUCAUGGAGCACCACGAGGCGCUCUAGCGAGAGGAGCUGGGGCAAGAGGUGUCGGGGAAAGAGAUAUCGGGGCUAGAGGAAGACCAAGUGGAAGGGGUCAACCUAGGAACGCCUCGCAAGGAGGUCGUGUGACAACCCCUCAGGUAACUUGUGGGUAUUCCAGGAAAGCUGGCCAUACUGAGGACGGAUGCUGGAGGAAAGAAGGAAAGUGCUUGAGGUGCGGAAGCAGCGAGCACCAGAUUGCCGGUUGUCAAAAAACCCUAGAAGGUGGUACCCCGAGUGCUAGACAAGUCACUUUUGGAGAAAGUAGGCCGAAAGUUCCUGCCAGGAUGUACGCCAUAAACGACCAACCCGUACCUGAUUCCUCGGAAGUCGUGAAAGAUACUCUUCCAAUCUUUCACCGAUUAGUUAGAGUACUAUUUGAUCCUGGCGCAACUCAUUCAUUUGUGAAUCCAACUUUUAUGUCCGGAAUUGAUGUAAAACCUGUUAGAUUACCCUUUGAUCUUGAAGUUAGGACACCAAUGGGUAAUAAAAGUAUAAUCACUAGCCUGGCCUAUAAGAACUGCGAAUUCUGGAUUGGAGAGCGUAGGAUGCUAGUAGAUCUAGUCAGUUUGGACAUAAAAGGUUAUGAUGUUAUUAUAGGAAUGGAUUUUCUAACUCAUUACCAUGCUAAGCUUGAUUGUAGAGCAAAAGUGUUAGAAUUUUGGAUUCUCGGGGAAACAACCUUGAAAUUGGAUGUGAAAGGCAGGUUAGCAUCGUCUGCUAUGAUUUCGGGAAUUCGGACAAGGAAAAUGUUGAAUAAAGGAGCGCAAGGUUUCUUAGCCUUCCUGAUUAAUGCUCCCGGUGACCAAGUAAAGUUGAAAGAUGUACCAGUGGUGAGAGAAUUUUCAGAUGUGUUUUCCGAAGAAUUAAAAACAUUACCUCCCGAGAGAGAAGUGGAGUUCAAGAUUGAACUAGUGCGGGGAACGGCUCCGAUUUCUAAGACUCCGUACCGAAUGGCUCCUGCAGAGUUAAAAGAAUUGAAAAUUCAAUUACAGGAUUUAUUGGAGAGAGGUUUUGUUAGAGAAAGUGAUUCGCCAUGGGGAGCACCUGUUCUAUUUGUUAAGAAAAAGGAUGGGAGUUUGAGAUUAUGUAUUGAUUAUCGAGGAUUAAAUGAAGGUACAAUUAAAAAUAAAUACCCUCUACCAUUGAUUGACAGCUUAUUCGACCAGCUGCAAGGAUCAGUAGUUUUCUCCAAGCUGGAUUUGAGGCAAGGGUAUUAUCAGUUGAAAAUUAAGAAGGAAGACAUACCUAAAACUGCUUUUAAUACAAGAUAUGGACAUUUUGAGUUUGCAGUCAUGCCAUUUGGAUUAACCAAUGCACCAGCUGCCUUCAUGGACUUAAUGCAGAGAGUCUUUAAAAAGUAUUUGGAUCAGUUUGUAGUAGUUUUUAUUGAUGAUAUCCUAAUAUAUUCUAAGACUCGAGAAGAACAUGCUAAACACCUGGGGAUAGUUCUGCAGAUCUUAAGAGAGCAUAAGUUGUAUGCUAAAUUUAGCAAGUGUGAGUUUUGGCUGGAAGAAAUUUCUUUUCUAUGGCACAAAGUUUCUAAAGAUGGAAUUGUCGUGGAUCCGGCAAAAGUUGAGGCGGUCACAAUGUGGAAGUAGCCAGAAACUUCAACUGAGGUUAGAAGUUUCUUGGGCUUAGCAAGUUAUUACAGGCGGUUCAUCAAGGACUUUUCGAAGAUUGCUGGACCUAUGACAAAGCUGACAAAGAAAAAUAAUAAGUUCAUUUGGACUCCAAAGUGCGAGUCAAGCUUUCAGGAGUUAAAAAAGCGCUUAACAUCAGCUCCUGUUUUGGCAUUGCCUGACGGAGUAGAAAGUUAUGUCGUACACUCCGAUGCCUCUAGGAAAGGUCUAGGAUGCGUACUAAUGCAAAAGAGUAAGGUAGUGGCCUAUGCCUCUAGAAAAUUGAAACCUCACGAACAAAAUUACCCAACGCAUGACCUAGAAUUGGCAGCAGUGGUCUUUGCCUUAAAGAAAUGGAGGCAUUACUUGUAUGGUGUGACCUUUGAAGUUUAUACGGACCACAAGAGCCUUAAGUACUUGUUCUCCCAAAAGAAAUUGAAUUUGAGACAGAGGCGGUGGGUAGAAUUUUUAGAAGAUUAUGAUUGUUCUAUCAACUACCACCCAGGAAAAGCCAACGUGGUAGCAGACGCUCUAAAUAGAAAGGCCCAAGUAGCGGGGUUAAUGGUAAAAGAAUGGGACAUGUUGGAAGAGGUUAGUAUUUGGAACCCUCGCUUGGAGAGAUUGAAGAUUUUAUUUGGGAACUUGUCGUUGAAGUCACCAUUAUUGGAGCGUAUUAAGGAGGCACAGAAAACGGACUCUAUAAUCCAGAAAAAGUUGGAGAAAGUGCAAAAAAGAGAAACCCUAGACUUUAAAUUAGGGUCUGAAGGAGUGUUAAGGUUUCGAGAUCGAAUUGUGGUUCCAGUUGAUGAAGGGUUAAGGAAAGAAAUUCUAGAAAAAUCACAUCGAUCAAGGUAUACUAUACACUCAGGAGUGAACAAAAUGUAUCACGAUGUGAAAGAGUUAUAUUGGUGGGACGGUUUGAAAAGGGACGUGGCAGAAUUUGUACAAAAAUGUCUGAUAUGCCAACAAGUAAAAGCUGAACAUCAGAAACCCUCUGGUCUAUUGCAGCCACUAGAAAUUUCUGAAUGGAAAUGGGAACACGUAACCAUAGAUUUUGUAACGGGAUUGCCUCGAAGUCAAAAAGGAUUUGAUGCGAUUUGGGUGAUAGUUGACAGGCUUACCAAGUCCGCACAUUUUCUACCUGUGAGUAUGAGUUUUUAUUUGGAGAAGCUGGCCAAGUUGUACUCAGAAGAGAUCAUGAGAUUGCAUGGUAUCCCUAUAAGUAUUGUGUCUUAUCGAGAUCCAAGAUUUGUUUCACGGUUCUGGCAGAAAUUUCAAGAGACAUUGGGGACCAAGUUAAGAUUUAGUACUGCUUAUCAUCCCCAAACAGACGGACAGUCAGAAAGGACAAUUCAGACUUUGGAGGAUAUGCUGAGGUCGUGUAUAUUGGAUUUUGGAGGUAAAUGGAGUCAGUAUAUGACCUUAGUAUAAUUUGCCUAUAAUAACAGCUAUCACACUUCAAUUCAAAUGGCACCUUAUGAGGCAUUGUAUGGGAGAAGGUGUCGAUCUCCGAUUCAUUGGGAUGAAGUGGGAGAGAAGAAAAUUUUAGACCCAACGGCUAUACCUUGGAUAAAAGAAGCUCAUGAGAAAGUGAAACUAAUUAGGGAAAGGCUUCAAACUGUCCAGAGUCGACAAAAGAGCUACGCCGACACAAGGAGAAAAGAUUUGGAAUUCGAAGUAGGAGACAAGGUUUUCCUAAGAGUUAAACCCUUGAAGGGCGGAGUAGUGUCCAAACAAAGUAAGAAGCUAAAGCCAAGGUAUAUUGGACCUUUUGAAAUUUUGAAACGAAUCGGUAAAGUGGCGUAUCAGUUGAGGUUGCCUUUGAGCAUGGCCAAGAUUCACAAUGUAUUUCAUGUUUCUAUGCUCAAGAAAUAUCACCCCAACCCAAGCCAUGUGUUGCAAUUGGAAGGAAUUGAGGUGGAUGAGUCGUUAACUUAUGAAGAAGGACCAGUUAAGAUUUUGGAAUGAGAAGUGAAAGAAUUGAGAAGUAAGAAAAUUCCUUUGGUAAAGAUUCUAUGAAAAAAUCAUGGAAUAGAGGAGGCAACUUGGGAACUAGAAGAGGAUAUGCAGAGAAAAUACCCCAAUUUAUUUCUUUAAAAGGUAAGAAUUUUGAGGACAAAAUUCAUUUAAGUGGGGGAGGAUGUGAGAGCCUUGAAAAAAAAAAUAUAUAUAUAUACAUAUAUACAUGUUGCAACUGCAUUUUAGACUUUUAAUAAAUUUUAUUAUUAGUUGUUCUUAAAUAAGUAUGUAAAAAUAAUUUUUAGAUUACAACUAAUUUAAUUGUACAAAAUAUUAAAUUAUUUGAUUUUUGCCAAGUUAAAUUAAUAUUUCUUGUUGUAGAUUAUUUUAUUGCUUUAAUAUUAAUUCUUUGAAUUUCGAUAGCUAAUAUUAAGUGUUAAUAAUGUUAAGUGUCAACGGGAACGUUGAAUUAAGACGAAAUCGAUUUUAGGUCAAAACCCUUUAUAAUUUCACUUAGGACGCUAAAAUCUCGAUAAUUGAAUUUUUGGCGAGAUUAGUAUACUAGUAGGCUAUCAAAUUUCAUUUGGGGUAAAAUUUUAGAAUUUGAUUACGAGUGAGAACUUAAGUGGAAGGUCGGACAAGAUGUUAAAAGACCAAUUUAGCCUUCCUCCAUCUCAAAUUAACCAUGCAGCCAUGGAACCUCCUUGGGUAAGCUUCAAAUCCAAGCAUUUCCAUCUUGCCGGUUCCAUUCUCCACAUCAACACUCAACCUUCCAUCUUUGCCGGCUCACCCUCACUACACACACUCCACUACAUCAGCUUCAAAUUCACCACAACACUCCAUUUCCAUUUCCUUCUCCUGCCUUGAACCGAGAGUGAAGUGAGAGAGAGAGGGAGCCGAGCUCUUUAUUUUCUUUCCUUUCUCUCUGUCCGUAAGCUAGAAAGAAAAAAAGAGAGACCUGCCGUUCUUCCUUCAUUUCAUCCGUGAGCUGGUGAAGAGGACCGAGAGCCAACACUUCCAUCAUUUCGUUUGUAAGCUUGAGCAAGGGAGAGAGUCGGUGAGCUGCAUUUCUGAACUGUCCGAGAGAGAGAGAGAGAGAGCAAGAGGUAGUGUGCGAUCUAUCUGUCUUCAUCUCCUCCAUCACUGCCGAGCUGUUCAUUUCCUUCCUCAUCUUCAACCAGAUGCGAUCAGCCCAACAACCAACACCACAGCCUGCCCAAACUGAGCUCAGCCAGUUAUACCCGAGUUCCUUAGCAAGCCGAAAUGAGAGAAAAAUUGCAGCUGCUUGUCGCGUGUGUUGAGCUUCAAGUUGAGGUAAAUUCUGGACUUAAACCAGUUAAUUAUAGGUAGAUGAUGUUGUUUAUGGGCAUGCAUGUGAUGGUUGUGCAGUUGGAUGAUGAAUUAAGCCACAGGAAAUCUGAUUAUGAAGAGGAUGGGAAUUGCCGAGAGCAUGAGCUGGAAAAUGCAGCUUUAAUUUGUUAAUUUGAGGCGAUCUGAGCCUAGAUGUGUGUUUAGCUAACUAAAAACUGGAUGAUUAAGCUUUGCAUGAGGUUAAUCAGCCUUGAUUAAGCAAGAAAAUCAAAGUGAUACAGAAUCUGCUUGCAUGCAAGCCAACCGAGAAGACUUGGAUGAAAUUCUGGUUGGCUGGUGACCUUUGAUGAUGUCCGAACCUGGCUUUGGAUUAAAACUGAUAGUCAAUUAAUUAAUUGGUCAUGCAUGUUGCUGAUUGAGCCGUGACUUUCCUAUUUGUUUUGGGUUAAAUUUCUGGUUGAUUUGAUGUAAGGAGUGAUUGUUUGAUGCCAAGAGCUAAUGAUUGAUGAAGCUCUUGGCCAUUUGAGUAAUUUUUGCAAGAGUUAAAUUUUUGGUGGAAUUGUUUAAGUGAUUUGGCCGAAAUGCGCUUGGAAAGUCCAUGAAUUGUGGUUUGGAAUGGUUUUGAUGUCUUGGACUUCCUUUGUUUAAUUUUGAUUAGAAUUGAACUUGUUGAGACCUAGGGCUAAUGAUUGAUGAAGCCCUAGUGAAAUUGAUGUUUGAAUUGUGAUUUUUCUAUAUUGGCAAAUUGGAAUAUAAUGUACAAGUGAAUUGGAAUCGUGAAGUUCGUUUUGGUCCUUUGAAUUCGAGUACUUGUUAACCAAGUUUUGUUGGAAUAUAGUGUCCUAGUAUCAAGCUAUGGAAUUUGUGUAUAGCGCGAUAAUGCUAAAAUUCGAGUGUCGGGACUUUUAAAACCUUGCCAACUAGUUAAUUCUUUCCUUUGCUUAAACUAGCCUUAUUACUUUUAGGAAAUGAUUGCACUAACUUUCAAACUCUAAAAUUUUUCGUAAAGCUGACCCUGGCUAGUUGUUUUAGAGGAAAAUUGUAAAAAACACGAGAUGUUAAUAACAUUAAAUGAAAGGCAGAGAAAACUUAUUCAGCAAGAAAACUUAUUUGAAUUAAGUUGGUUCUGGUUUGCACCUCUAGAAAGAAAGUACCUUCAAAGAAACCAUAUGAAAUACUUUAUCACUUUUACUAGUUUUAAUUCUAAGAGAAUUGAGGAUUUAUUUUGAGAAGAUAAACUAGUUAUAUAUCGGAUAAUCUUUUAUAUAUAAACCAAGAACUUGUAUAGUAAAACUUAUAGUUUUAAAACUUGGUCUUUUAGGGUUUAGCGAGGACGUGGACUUCGAUUCUCAGCUUGACUUUUGAGCUUCACUUUUAGUGAGUGUCCUUGCUUGUUCUAUAUUUAUCUUGUUAAGGCACUUUCUUGACUUGUUAUGUGAUAAUCGGAUAGUGGUUUUCCUGAUCCAUCGAAAUGGGCAGUGUGUACUUUAUCGCGCUAGCCUUUCGAGUGGUGACUUACUUGAAAUAUUUUCUCGAAUAUCUUGCUCGCACUAGUUAAGUACUGAGUGGGGGAAUGUACCACACCUGAGGGUGUGAGGGCCUCUUAUCCUAACUCAAGCACCAAAAAAACCUUGCAACUGUUGACUGGAGCGUGGACUCGUCAACUAAAUCACUAGGCAGGGGAAUGUACCACACUUUAGGGUGGGAGGGCCUCUUAUCGUGACUUGAUAACCACUUGUUGUGACGUCAUUGGGUGAAUCCCUCGACUAGGCUAUUAAAAGGUAUAUUCGAGUAAUACCAAACUUCCUAGUGAGAAGAACGGGCCCGGUGGGAGUAAGUUGGUUGGAGCGUGUUAAGAUAAAAAAAAAAAGUUCUACGUGGACUUUAGAUAGUGAGAGUUGACGGAGGGUCAACUGCGGUUAAUUUUGAUCAAGUUCGUGGAAAAUGGCUCCUGAGAGCCCUGUAUCCUACCCUGUGCUGUUAUACGUUUUCCUACUUGUUGAAUUUUAGUUUGGAGUUAUUAUUCGCUAUUUGUUUAUAUGAUUGCAUGUUCGGGGCACCACUGAGCUUUAGUUCACCCCAUGUUACUUGUUUUCCUUAACAGGUUCCGGCAUUUGAGAGACCUGAAGUUUGCAUUUACCUUUUAUGAAUGUUGUUUUGAAUCGGACUAUGUAUCUUUCGUUUUGGGUUGCCACUUGAAACUGGAAAAGUGCAAAACUUGAGUUUUGUUUGGCUUGUAGGAUUGUAUUUGAAUUCUAUGAUUUCACUUUGUGGUUUGUAACGUGUGAAUGUAGUUGUGUUGUAAACUGAUUGGAGGUGUACUUAAGAGUGGAUGUUCAGUCGUCCAGUGGUAAUGUUAUCUCUGAAGUUAAUGUGUUUCUAGUAUUUUUGGUUGUUUUAAGGAUUGGCUUGUUCGGGUGACGAGUUUAGUAAUUGUUUAAGCUAUACGUCGGGAAGGUUUAGCUAGUUUACUUGCGUGAGUCCUGGCGAGAGCCAGUCAGACGACCCGCCAACCCUCUGGUUCGCCUUAGGGAGAAAUGGGGUCAUCACAACACUCGCCUAGAAAACUCAUUUUAAGCAAUCAUUGAAAACAUUUAACAUGUUAUCAUUUGUUCAUAACAAGUCAUAUAAUCAAGAACAAGCCACAUAGUUAAUGAAAAUAUAACAAACAAGAAACACUCACCUAUUUAGGCAAAAUAACGUCUAAAAUAUCCUUCCGGAUAACACCCUCAAUCACCCAGGAAUCCUAAUAUAAUCAAAAGAACACAUUAUGCUUCAACCAUCAAAGAUGUAAGUGAUUCAAAGAAAAUUCGAAUACGUGCUAGUACAAAGUAUAAAUAUGAUUUUGGUAGUGAAAAGAGUACAUUUAAACCAAAGAACAUAAGUAAAUUAUUUGUAAAACUUAUGCUCACUUGUAAAACUUUAAAAUCGCUAUUUGAGUCGAAGUGGCAAAAAAAACGUAUUUCUAUUAGUCGUAAAUUUCAUUUUUCCAAGGGUACAAGUUUCGGCCGAAUUCUAACUUAUAUACCUCGAUAAAAGAAGACGUAAAUACCCUAGAUGGUUUACGUGGUAUUCGCUCUCAAGCUUUACUCAAGUCGCAAGUAUAUCGAUCUAGUUCUCGAGCGUAAAUUUGGGCAGCACGCCCUUUGUAUUUACCUAUUUUCCAGCCAUUUAUGGCUUCAUUCUUUUCCUCAAUCAAUCCCAAAAUCAUACACAAAAUCAUCUCAUUUCAAUAACCAUUCCAUAGGCUCCAAGUCAUACAAGUACAAAAUCAAGCUAGGAGCAUGUGCGGAAAUGAAGGUUGAGUCAAGAAACAAAAGACAGAUUUGACGUUGUUUUGCGUAACGGACACAACUGAUGCUACGCUUAUCAGAUUGAGGUGUAAUCUAUACUGUUUCGAAGCUAAGACAGUGGGCUAAAAUUUUGAUAAAGACCACCUAGUCCAGUUUGUAGUGUAUCUAGGUCAAAGUUUUGAAUUACUAAACCAGAAGCGCACAAACGGGUCAGUUAACCGUGCUAUGUUUAAACAACAAUAACUCAGGCUACCGAAGUCCAAACGAGAUGAUUCUAGGGGCGUUGGAAAGAUAAGACAUAGCACUACAACUUUUGUGUUUUGGAUAAAUGCUAGUUCAGUAUGUAUCAAGGUGAAAAGACACGAUCAGAUUGAUAAAAUGUCAAAACUGUCCAUUGGACUAAACUUAUGGUAGUCAGGGGUAUUUUUAUCUUUUCACAGGUUACGUUGCUCGGAUUGAGUUGAAAUUUUACAGGAACCUAUAAAACAUCAUUAUCUACAACUUUUAUGUUUUAUGUUAAGCCUAAUUUGGCCUCUAACAUGAUGAACUAGAACCGGCAGAACAGGGUGCAUACUAACUUCAAUUCUGGAAAUUUGCUACAAUCAAGAUAUAAAUCUCAUUUUUAGCUUGAAACCAUCACUACCACCUCUUAUACCAACAUAUAUACAUCAUACACCAUCCAUACAACAAGUAUGAGGAGGGUAUCAUUCAAACCCUAACUCAAUUGCAUCAUUCCAAUAAUCCAAAAUCACUUGAUAUAAGCAUUAUUAUAACCACAAAUACAAGCUACUAAGCAACUCCAACAUGAUUAAAGGACAAAGAAAAGUGUGGGCAGCCAUAUUACCUCAAAACAAAGCUUGCUAGAGUUAUCCUCCACUUCCCCUUGAAAUUUUUGGUUCCUUAAGCUUCCCAAACUCCCAAACUAGUGAUUAAUCGGUUUAGUUUUUCUUGUUUUCACUCAAAAUGUUGGAUUCAAGGUUGGAAAUUGAAAGCUCUCUUCACUCUUUCUCCCUCUCUUGCUCUCGGCCAAACCAAGAAAAAUGGUGAAGAAGUGGAGUCCAAGUGAAGAUAAGAAGCAAAGAAAAUUAGCCUGGUCAAAAGUCUCUAAGUGACCAACAAGUGUCACACUUUGGUGCAUCCAAAAUUUUUUUUUCUUUUUCUUGUUUUCUUGGUCAAUAAAUUCGGCCAACAUAAUCAGAUUUUGGCUGAUUUUUAGGCUCUAAUAAUAAGGAGAUUAACUUGAUAAAAUGGUGGUCAAAUGGUGUGUUCAAUUGAUAGCCAAUUGGUAGCGAACGUUACCCGUCGGUUCUAGUCAUUUUUCCUUAAAUUGCGUAUACUAGGGUUUUAACUUACAAUUCACUAACUUAUUAUUAUCACCUCUAAUCCCACACUUAAUUUCAUCUAAAACUCACUUUUAAUCAUCACAUUUAUCGCACUAGCGGGUCCCACAUCGAUAAUGCGUUUCAAAUUUAACGUACACUAACUCAUACUAGGAAAAUGAAUUUAAAACUGUACUUGCUUGUAAAAAUGCAUAGAAAUUUUAAUAUUUCCAAGGAAAGUAUAAAAUGUAGGCAAAGAAAUAAAAUAAUGUUGAGAAAAUGUGAAAAUUUUUGGGUUCUCACAAAUAUCUUGAACUCGAAUUCGACUCGAGCCAACUAGAUAUCGAACUCGAGUCAAGCUUGACUCGAGCCGCUCGCGAGCCGAUUCAUUUGCAGUCCUACCUCCAAUAAUUAUGAGAAAAUUUUUAACUCCCAAUCUAUUAAAAGUACAAAUUUUUGGCCCUUCUGUCAAUUUUACCAAUUAUGAGUAACAGAGAAUAGCAUCACGUGCGAUGCACCAGGAAAUUGCAAGGGCAUUCUUGUCCAAAAGCUGCUGCUUCUCCCGUUCAUCUUCAAUCCCUAGCUGUAGGGGUAAGCAUCGAAUUCGAAGUCGGUAAUUCGGUAGGUUGAAAUCGGUAAUUUUCGGUAAAUGGUUCUGGAAAUAUUUGACCUAAUUCGCAUUUGAAAUAGAAAAUAUCGAAUUCGAAUUCAAUCCGAAUUGAAUUCGGUAAACGAAAAUUUACCGAUUUAACCAAAUUCAUGAAAACUGCUUCUUAGGGCAUCGAACCAGUCGGAUGGAUCUGUUAACUACUUUGGAGAUUAUGACAGUGAUAUCAUGUGCAGCAAGAAGAAGAGGUGCAGACACUCCUACGAUCUGAAUUGCUCUGCUCUGCAAUUUAAUAGCAGCGGCAAUGGAUUUUGUAGCAACUCAUGGGACAGACUGCAAUGUCUUUCACUCUGGAUUGGCAUGGGUGAGCUUCUAACCCCAUUGACUGCUGCUGGUCUUGAGGAUUGUCCCAACCUGGAGGAGAUCCAAAUCAAGGUUGAAGGAGAUUGCAGGGAAUGGUCAAAGCAUGCACAGUACCCCUUUGGGUUGAGCAAUCUGGUGCAGUAUCCUCGCUUAACCAAGAUGCAUUUGGAUUGUGGAGACACCAUAGGUUAUGCACAGAUUGCACCGUCUGGGCAGAUGGAUUUGAGCCAAUGGGAACGAUUUUACCUGAUGGGAACGAAUGCUAAUUUAGGGCAAAAGUCUGAAAUUGGAACAUCUGGACAUAAGGAUAUUAUUUCCUAAUUAACUUAAUUCGGAAUUUCAAAAUUGAAAACGGUAAUAAUUUACCGUUUUACCGAAAUAAAUUCGAAUUCGGUAAAUCCAAAUUCAAAAACUAUAAAACCAUUUUCGACCCUAAUUCGAUUCUAAUUAAUUCGAUAUUACCGAAUUACCGACCGAAUUAUCUAAUUACCAAAUUCGAAUUACCAAAUUCAAAUCGAAUUCGGUCGGUAAUUCGGUAAUUACCGUAAUUGCUCACCCCUACCUAGCUGCAGUAGAGGAAAUAGCAUUUCCCAAAAACUCAAUUUACACGCUCAUAGUUCAAUUCUUAAUAAGGGAAAGGGAAGAAAAGUAAACUAGAAAGCAGAAAUCAAGAACCAAGAAUUGGACUUUUCACCCACACCAAUAGCAGGCGAUUGUUUCAUCUUGAUUGGUCUUGGAAAUCAUUUGUAUCUUCCUAUAAAUGUAUCCAAAAUACGCCACCAUUUCUUCUCCUUAGGCUAUGAACAACAACAGCACUCAAAUGAAAAAGGUUCUACCUGCUUAUCAUCGAUAACAUGCUUAUCAAUCUUUAUCUUUUCUUUCCUCUUCAUUCUAAACUCUCUCAUCUCCAUCUCCCACGCCCUCAACUCCAAAGACCACAUCGGUUUUGCCUUCCCUUUAGGUUGUAAUAGUAAUCGCUCUCCCUUUUUUCCUCAACUCAACUCUGGAUUUGUUCAUGCAUAUCAAGAGUUUGUUUCAAUUUCCUUCAGCGAUCCUCAAUUUGCUGUUUCUUUUCGCUUUCAACGAAGAAUUUUUGUCCUUUUAUGUUAGAACAAGAUACUUUAGUGGGAUAGAAAACCAUUACUAUGAUCUCUUUCUCAUGCCAAUAGGAAUUUGUCUGUUUUGUACUAUUCUUGAACGGAAAAGUCCCAAAUCGAAUUAUGCAAGGAUGGCAUUUCCCAAAUCCCUAGGGAUUGAAGAUGGAUAGGAGAAGAAGCAAGUAAAUUUUACUCGAUUAAUACAGCCGCAUGAACAAGAAUGCCCUUGUUAUUAUCUCGUGCGUUGCACAUGAUGAUCGUCUCCGUCACUUAUAACUAUUGAAAUUCACAAAAGGGUCAAGAAUUUUUGCUUUUACUAGAUCGAUGGCCAAAAAUUUUCUUGUAAUUGUUAAAAAAUUAAAACUUUACGCAACUUUUCUCAUAAUUGUUAAAAAAUUAAAAUUUUAUGCAAUUAAAAGUUCGAAACCCAUUGAAACUUUUUUUCCUCUUAGGAAAUAAAACGUUGCUCUAUCUUAGAUUUCCUUUUCAAAUGCGGCAAUGUGUAUAAAUCUAAGCUGCAACCGUUUAUAAAAGUGCAUAGAUCCUCAACCGAACUGGCCUCAGCCCCUCAAGAGUAAGAAUAGCAAGACCAAUAAGACCAUUUGUUUGCUUGACACUUCUUUUUCUUUUUUUUUUCCUCUAGUUUUCAUCAAUUCCAUUAACCAUUUAGCUAUUAACAACCAACUUUUAGUUUUGCUCAAUGUUUUUAAAUUCGAAUUGGAGAGUGAACCGAAAAUCUUUCGAUUUACAAUUCGACCGAUUCAACCCCCAUUUAAAGGUUUAAUAAUUUUUUAUUUAUUUUAGUAUUAAAUUUUUUGAGUAAAACUAAAAUAUUUAUUUUAGAAAAUAAAAAUUUAAUAAACCCAAUUUUUAUCAGCUUUUAUCGGUUUAAUCAGGUUUGAUUGAUUCAAUUGAUUGUUUGGGCUAUUCAUUGAACCGGACCUGAGGUAUAACCAGACGAACCGGUCGGUCCGGUCCGGUUUUCAAAACGCGAUUGCUAGCCAACCGUUUGUUAGUACAUUUGAAUUAGUAUAAAACAAGAAGUAAAUGAUGAGGUGAGGCCCUUUGUAUAUUUGUUGGCUUUUAUCGGUUUAAUCAGGUUUGAUUGAUUCAAUUGAUUGUUUGGGCUAUUCAUUGAACCGGACCUGAGGUAUAACCAGAUGAACCGGUCGGUCCGGUCCGGUUUUCAAAACGCGAUUGCUAGCCAACCGUUUGUUAGUACAUUUGAAUUAGUAUAAAACAAGAAGUAAAUGAUGAGGUGAGGCCCUUUGUAUAUUUGUUGGAGGCGAGGGACUUGGUAGUGAAGGAUUCAUAUGUGUAAUUAAAAGUUGGUAAGUCUUAAGUCCAAGACAAGGGUAUUGAAGAACACGAAAUCCUAUUUGGAAUGAAGAGUUUGCAUUCAGAAUGCAUUACUUGGAGGAUGAAUUUAUUUUGUCUGUGUAUCAGUUUAAUGAAAGACUCUGGAUUCUUUAAUGUUGCUGGAGAUUUGGUGGGGCAAGGUUAUGAUUCCAGUUUGGUCUAUUGUUGUAGAGGAAAACCACAACUUCAGAUGAAAACCACAACUUGCCUCCCACUUGGUUCUCUUUUCAAAAGCGCGAUCUUGAAAUCAACCACCAACAAAGACUAUGGUAUAGCUUUGUAUGUUUUGUUAGUUUUAUUUGAUAAUUUGUACUAAUGCUUUUGUCAUUGGUGUUUUUAUGGAUUUGUUUAUGUUUAAAUUACGUGAAGUAGACAUACUGCCUAAUCCGGAGUCAUUUAAUGGUUAUGGCUUCUUGAUCUGGACCUCAAGAGCCAAGAACUUGAAUUUUUGGAUAAUAGCUAUAGUUAACUACAUGAUGACAAAUAAUGAUUGAAAUAAUGAGAGGAUUUCUAAGUGGCAUUUCUUUCCUAUAGAAGAAUUUUGGUGCUUCCUGUGUUGAAUUUUUUAGGUCAGUUUGCAUAAAUGAAACUUGAAAAUGGCCUUUAGGAAUGUUAGGACCAGUUCGAGGAGUCCACUUUCAUGUGUGGUUCUAUAAUUACAAGAAUUAGGAGGCCUUAGAUGGCUUGCUCACAUUUUUACCCCUUUUGAGGUGUCAAUUUGGUUUUGACGAAUUGGUUAAUUAGAAUAUCGAUUAGAAAAGUUAAGAUAAGUAAAAUGGCCUCGUCCUCAAUUCUGCAUGGUUUGUUUCCAGCUGUACUCAGAUUUAUGAAAUUCGAUAAUAGGGUAUUCAAGUUUAUUUGUGAUGAAUUUGACGAGAGUCAGAAUACCCAAUGACAGAUUGGGUAUAUCUUAAAUAUUAAAGUGAGAUUUUCUGCAAUACUCAGGCAAGGUGGCUUUUUUUUUUCCUUCUUGUUUGGUUGAGCUACCUUGUUGACUAGUAACAUGUUUGGCUGCAGUAUAAAAGAGAUUAAAGGAGGUACUUUUUCUUGAUAUAGUUCUCUUUUUCUUGAUUUGUACGAGGGAACAAGUGAGUUUGGGAAAGGUUAGAUUACAGAGUUAAGAAUUACAAUUGCCCUUGUGAUACUAAAGGUUGAGUGGUUAUUAAGAGAGCUCAAUGCAGAUAGCUGAGAAAAAGUGUUAGUCAAUAUUAUCAGUCUGCGCAAAUAACUACAGCGUGGGGGCUUAUUUUUUCUAGGCUCCCCAGCUUUUCAGAAUGUUUAAAAAAGAGGUCCAAACGUGAUAUGCUUUCUAGCUGUAGUUAGUUGAUUCUUUGGAGAAUAUGAUGGUGCAAAAUGCACUUCUUUGUGCUUAAUACAGAAUCUAAGUUUUCCUCUACUCCUGUCCCAUUCAGUCCAUUCCUUGAAGGUCAGUGUUGCCAUCUUAUGACCUGGUAGGUUCAUUGAGACCUCCUGAUAUGAGCAGGCUGCAGCAGGCAUUGAACUGGCUCUCUGCCUUCAUCUAGCUUGUAGCUGUACUAGACCAUGUGCAAAGUUCCUUUUAGCAGAAGUAGCAUUAUUCAAGCUCUGAACCAACUCUCACCAAGUUCUUUUAGAUUGGAUAGGAAUCAUCUCCAUAAACAGAACUGAUGUUGAUGACUCUUGGCCUUCUUAGCCUUUCAUAUCAGGAAUUCAGCAAAUGUGUGCAGUUUGAGUAGCAAAAUCCCUAAAGCAGUUGUUGUGAUACAAGUAUAUGGAUACUGUUGCACAUUAUAGGCCUUGUUGUAGGUUCAACUCUGUGAUAUUUUCUCUCUCUGCCUGGAGCUGGAAGUAAUGAUCUUUUAUGAUCAAUGGUCAUUUUGAAAUGGAUGGACUGCAUGGUGAUCAGAUAAGAGGAGCUUGUAAUCCUUAUAUUAGCUGAGUAUCAUGGUCCCAUAGACAUUCUGCAAAACCAUUUAAAAUGCAUAUGACCCUUUUGUUUGCUUUUCCAUUUUCUAGCUGUUUCUGCGUUCUGCUUAAUAGUCUGUUUAUUUGAAAUGUUUCCUUUACACAUAUUUGUUUUCUUAAUAUUACAGAUAAAUGUCCUGCAAUAGCAACUUCAUUGCAGUUCUCCUAGUGUCUCCUGUCAUAUCUGUUUAAAUGAUUUUCAAAGAUUUGAUGCUUCUAAGCAGUACCGAUAAAUAAGGGGAAGUAAUUUUUUCAUAGAAUUAUUUGGCAAUGUCUUGCUUAGGAAUGCUUAAUGGGCAGUAAAAAGGAGAUUGAGUCGAUUUAAUUGCCUCUCCCAUUGAACAUAAUAACAUUUUAUACACCAAUUAUACAGUUGUAUUUGACUUUACCUUAUGAAUGCAGGUAAAUUUCUUCUGAUACUGGCACUGUAUAGGAGAGGUGUGCAAGUAUGCGGUGACCAUCUCUUGUAUGUCAUCAAAGUUGCAGAGCUGAAAACACCGAUGAGUAUGGAGAUAAAUGUGUUUCAUCUGAAGAUGUUUUUAGGUGUACUCCGACAAGGAAGAUAUUAGAAGGGAAACAUCUAGUGAAGGUUAUUGCUGGUCGCUUACAGAGGCUUUUCAAUAAAAAUGAAGAAGCAUCAGGGACUGACAAUUCUUCUGAGCUGUCAACUACCAUUUCUGUUAAAAAAGAUAACUUGGCUCAGCCGAACAGUAACAGUAGCUUUGAAGAGCUGAUUAAAAUGCUAAAGUUAAGCAAUGAUGAAAAAGACAUACCAAAGAACCCAGAGGGUGGCAACCUUUUGGAUCAACCAUAUGCAAUGCCACCUGAAGAUCUCAACAUGCUUCUGUUUACUCCUAAGUCACAAUUAAUGAGAGAUCUUGCAGAAUUGCAGGGAACAACAGAUGUUCAAGAGGGCCCUUGGACAUGGAAAUCAGCAGACAAAUCAUGUUUAGUGCGAGUUAUUACGUACACCAAAGCAGUAACAAAAUUAGUAAAGGCUGUGAAAGCUACUGAAGAGCAAACUUAUAUAAAGGCCAAUGGGAAAGAAUUCAUUGUCUUUGUAGAUGUUAAUACUCCUGAAGUUCCAUAUGGAAAUACAUUUAAGGUUGAUCUACUUUACAAGAUAACUCCAGGGCCGAAGCUAUCUUGUACAGAAAAAUCUGCUCAUCUUGUCGUAUCCUGGGCCAUAAACUUCCAUCAAAACACUAUGAUGAAAGGCAUGAUUGAAGGAGGAGCCAGGCAAGGAUGGAAGGAGAGUUUUGAACAGUUAUCUGACUUGCUAGCUAAAAUUCUCAAAGUGAUUAAUCCUAUAAAUGUAUCAGAUUGCAUACGAUAGCAACUUUGCAGGAGCACCAGUCAAAUUGGGAACUGGCAGCUGAAUAUUUUUUGGAAUUGUACUAUGGUUUAGGCAUAUUCAUGGUUCUAUAUAUUGGUUUUCACAUCUGGCUUUGUGGAGAGCUCUAGCUCCAAGGCUUAGAAUUUGAUGGUCUUGAUUUACCUGAUAGUGUGGGGCAAAUUAUUAACUUUGCAAUUUUAGUCAUCCAACUUGAGAAUGCUUAUAACAUGGUAUCACAUUUUUGUGCAAGCAAGGCUAAAAUGAGGUAACAGUUCACAAAGCAUAUCACUUUAUAUCAAAUGUAUAUCAUGUUUAGUAGUUUAACUGAAAAUCACAUGAUUAACAGGAAGUAAUCGUGGAGUCAAAAUGCAAGGGGAUGGUUGGGUGCUUAUAAUAGCUUUGAUUGAGGGUGUGGAUCUAGCUUCUUUAGAUUCAACUGAAUUACCAGAUCCUUAUGUGUUAUUUACCUGUAAUGGCAAAAUAAGGACAGACUCUGUGCAGCUGCAAACUGUCGAUCCUCAGUGGAAUGGUUUGAUCCUCUACUAAAUCUCGUUAUUGUGUACUCUAACUAGUAAUCAAAUCAUGGUACUGUGACAACCUUUCAUCUGAUACAAUGUGCAGAAAUACAUGAGUUUGAUGUUUCAGAAGAACCACCUUCAGUGCUGGAUGUGGAAGUUUUUUAUUUUGAUGGUCCAUUUGAUCAAGCUUCCUCUCUUGGCCAUGCUGAAAUUAAUUUUUUGAAGCAUACGUCUACAGAAUUAGCAGACAUAUGGAUUCUCCUAGAUGCAAAACUUGCUCAAUCUUCUCAGUCAAAGUUGCACCUGAGAAUUUUUUGGACAAUACUAAUGGAGCUAAAACAAUAAGAGACUAUUUAAACAAGAUGGAAAAGCAAGUAGGAAAGAAGGUAAUAAGGUUUCAUAGUGUCACAGAUUUCAUCUUCUAGACCUUUUGAAAUUAUAUGUUGUUGUAAAUUUUAAAAGAAAAGGAAAAUGAACAAAAAACUCUACUUUUCUUUAUUUUCCCACACCCUAAAAUAUGCUUACAAGGUAAGCAUUUAUAGGACAACCCUAUCAUAGUUCUGCCACCACUUAAGGUAAUAGAACCAUGAUUUUAGGGAUUACAUAAUCAACUCAUAUCCUAUCUAUUCAAACUUGAUUGAUCAUAAGCAAUAAAAUCCCAUAAUCAUGGGAGGUAAUAUCUCUCAUAAUCAUGGGAGAUAAUUAUGGAAGAUAAUAUCUCCCAUAAUCAUAGGAGAUAAUAUCUUCGACACCCCCCCUCAAGUUGGUGCAUAUAUAUUUAUCAUGUCCAACUUGCUUGUAAGAAGUUCAAAGUUUGGUCUGAGGAGUCCUUUGGUGAGAAUGUCAGCUAUCUGCUGAGCUGAUGGAACGAAUGGCAUGCAGAUAAUUCCUCCUUCAAGUUUCUUUUUUAUGAAGUGGCGGUCAAUCUCAAUAUGUUUGGUUCUAUCAUGUUGCACAGGAUUAUGAGCUAUGCUAAUUGCCGCCUGGUUAUCACAAUAGAGCCUCAUUGGUAGUUCAAUAGGUCUUUUUAGCUCCUCUAAAACUCUCUUCAGCCAUAACAUCUCACACACACCAUGAGCCAUAGCUCGGUACUCUGCCUCUGCACUACUACGAGCUACAACACUUUGUUUCUUACUUCUCCAAGUAACCAAAUUGCCCUAUACAAAGGUACAAUACCCCGAGGUUGAUCUUCUAUCAAUGACUGAUCCUACCCAAUCAGCAUCUGUAUAAGCUUCAAUGGUCUUUCGAUCUCCUCUUUUAAAGAACAAUCCCUUUCCUGGAGUACUUUUUAAGUACCUCAGAAUUCGAUAUACUGCAUCAAGGUGCUCUUCAUAUGGAGAAUGCAUAAACUGGCUCACAACACUCACUGAAAAAGCUAUAUCAGGACGAGUGUGAGCCAAGUAAAUUAGCUUGCCUACUAACUUUUGGUAUCGAGCAGUAUCAACUGGUGUUCCAUCUUUUAUAUCUGCUAACUUGUGAUUCGGAUCCAUAGGAGUGUCUGCAGGUCGACAUCCACUCAUCCCUGUUUCCUUUAAAAGAUCCAAAACAUACUUGCGUUGGGACACAACCAUGCCCUUCUUGGACCGAGCUACCUCCAUCCCUAAGAAAUAUCGUAGUGUUCCCAAAUCUUUGAUUUCAAAGCUAGAAAAAAGACUUUUCUUCAGCCGUUCCAUCUCAAUUAAGUCAUCUCCUGUGAGGAUGAUAUCAUCCACAUACACAAUGAGUACUGCUAUCUUGCCGUCCUUGGAGUGUUUAACAAACAUGGUGUGAUCACUCUGAGCUUGGGUAUAGCCUUGAUCCUUUACCGACCUAGUAAAUUUUUCAAACCAGGCCCUAGGAGAUUGUUUGAGACCAUAUAACGAUUUUUUUAGCUUUCAAACUCUAGACUGAAACUUCCCUUCAAAUCCAGGGGGAGAAUCCAUGCACACCUCUUCCUCCAGAUCACCAUUUAAAAAUGCAUUUUUGACAUCAAGUUGUUGGAGUGGCCAAUCAAGGUUUACUGCUAUUGAGAGAAGCACCCUAAUAGUGUUUAAUUUUGCCACUGGAGCAAAAGUUUCAAGAUAAUCGAUCCCGUAGGUUUGAGUAAAUCCUUUAGCCACCAAUCGAGUUUUGUACCGUUCCAAUGUCCCAUCGGAAUUAUACUUGAUGGUAAAGACCCAUUUACACCCUACUGUUUUUUUCCCUUGUGGCAGGUUUGUUACUUCCCAUGUUUGAUUCUUCUCAAGAGCAUACAUCUCUUCUUCAAUAGCCUUUCUCCACUCUGGAACUUGUAAUGCUUCCUGUACAUUCUUUGGAAUUUCCACAGAAGAAAGUUGUGAAGUAAAUGUCAAGAAAGUAGGGGAUAACUUUUCAUAAGAGACAUAGUUAGUCAUAGGGUGUUUGAUACAAGAACGCGCUCCCUUUAGAAGUGCAAUAGGAAGAUCCAAAUCAGCAAUCUUUGAAUCAGAGGAAACUUUAUCUGAUGACUCAAAAACAUCAAAUUCUGCCCUCGGUUCGGAUUCCUUGUUGUGAAGAGAAGGGGGAGCUUUAUCUUUUCCUCGAUGAUUUUUCCUGACAUAGGUUUUCAGGGUUUUUUCAGUUAUAUUCCCAUCUCUUUCACUAAGAGAAUUCGACUCUGUUAUUGGCACUAUAAACAAGAGAUCCUCUUCAAAUCCCUGAUCAAUUUUUUCACGUUUUUCAAAAUCCUUUUGACGGGCAAAUUGAAGAGUGUCAUUUGAUUUUUCAAGAUUAUUAUCUUGAAAAGAUUCUUGUUGAGGAAAUUGUGCUGUAGAUUCUUCUAAAAAAUCAGAAAAAUUUUGAUCAGGAAUUUGAUUUUCAAUACGAAAAACAUCAUCAUCUUCUACAAGUUCUUCUACAUGCCGAGUCCCCCCCCCCCUGAAGAGGAUCUCUAAAGAAAGGUUUAUCUUCAAAAAAUGUUACAUCCAUGGUUACAAACAUUUUUUUCGAAAUGGGGUCAAAGCAUUUAUACCCCUUUUGCGUGGGUGCAUAUCCAACAAAAAUGCAUUUCCUUGCUCGAGGGUCUAACUUGCUUCGACCUUGUUCAUGAUUGUGAACAAAGGCUAUGCACCCAAACACCUUUAAUGAGACUUCAUAUGUUAAUCGAGACAUGGGAUAAAUUGUUUUGAAAAAAUUCAGAGGAGUUUGGAAAUUCAAGGUUCUUGAGGGCAUUCUGUUUAUGAGAUAUGUAGCAGUUAAAAUUGCUUCGCCCCAUAGAUAUUUAGGAACAUUUCUUGAAAAAAGUAAUGCCCUCGCCACUUCUAAAAGAUGUUUAUUUUUUCUUUCAGCUACCCCAUUCUGUUGUGGGGUAUCAUUGCAGGAGCUUUGAUGCACAAUCCCUUUUUCAAGAAAAAAACUUCCUAAAAUUUUAUUGAAAUAUUCUUUUCCAUUGUCACUCCGAACAAUUUUGAUUUUUUCUUGAAAUUGUGUCAAAACCAUGCUGUAGAAUUUUUGAAACACACUUGCAUCCUCUGAUUUCUCUCUUAACAAAUACACCCAACAAACUCUUGUGUGAUCAUCGAUGAAUGUAACAAACCAUUUUUUUCCAAAUGAAGUUGAAAUUCUAGAGGGACCCCAAACAUCAGUAUGUAAUAGAAAAAACGGUUUUGAGGGUUGAUAAGGAUGUAUAGAAAAUGUAGACCGAUGAUGUUUAGCCAAUUCGCAGAUUUCACAUUGAAAGGAAGAUGAAUCUUUAUUCUUAAACAAAUCUGGAAAUAAGUAUUUCAUGUAAUAAAAACUAGGAUGUCCUAGUCUAAAGUGCCAUAACAUAAUCUCUUUAUUACUAGUAAUAGAGACGGACCCGUAACAUGUGUUUUUGAUUGGUGUUGUCAUAUUUGAUCCAUCUUCAAGGAGGUAAAGUCCCCCAUUUUCUCUAGCACAUCCAAUCAUCCUCCCCGUGGUCAGUUCCUGAAACUCACAAAAAGAGGGGAAAAAAUUAAUCCGACACUUGAGAUCCCUAGUUAAUUUACUUAUGGACAGCAAAUUGCAUGAUAACUUUGGAACAUGAAGAACUCUAUGAAGUGUUAUAGUAGGAGAGAUGACAACGGAACCUAUGCCAGCUAUGACGGAUAAUGAUCCGUCAGCAACCUUGACCCUUUUAUUGCCUGCACAUGGACUGUAGGUAGAAAAUAAUUGUGACAAACUAGUCAUAUGGUCAGUGGCUCCAGAAUCAAUAACCCAUACAAUCUGUGGACAAGAUGCAUUUGAUGUAUUACAUGAAAGAGCAAUAGUAAAACGAUUACCAUUUUUAGCAAAAGAACAAAAAGGAGUGAAGCUUUUUGUCUCAGUGACUGAAAAUUGUGGAGACUUAAAGAGUUUGUACAGUUGGCUUAAUUGUUCCUUUGUGAAGGCUGGUGUCUCAGAGUCAGUUUGUUGCUUUUGAGAAUCCUCAUUCACAGUCUGCAAUACCUUGCUAUCACCUCCAUUUUUCUUCUUGAAAUUCGAUGGUUUCCCAUGUAAUUUCCAGCACGUGUCCUUUGUGUGCCACGACUUUUUACAGUGUUCACACCAAGGCUUCCUUCUUUUAUCUCCAUCCAAAUCUGUCCCCUUCGAAACCAAUGAUGAAGUCUCAACUUCAUCCUCUGCCUUGGACUUUAGCAUCACCUUACGCCUUGAUUCUUCUCUUCUGACCUCAGAAAAUACUUCACGAAUGGAGGGGAGAGGCUUCCUGCCCAAAAUACGACCUCGCACCUCAUCAAGUUCUUGAUUUAGUUCGGCCAAGAAGACAUAGACUCUGUCGUUCUCCUCCCGUUUCUUGUAUCGAACACUGUCUACACGGCAAUCCCAUUCAUCCUCAUAACAAAGAUCCAAUUCCUACCAUAAAGUUACCAUCUGAUUGUAAUAGGUUGUAACAUCUCUAUCUUCUUGUCUUGAUUUCCACAAUUUCGUCUUGAGAUUGAAAAUUUGAGACGAAUUCUCUAUAUCGGAAUACAUGUCCCGGACAGCGUCCCACACAUCCUUGGCUGUGGGCAGAAAUAAGUGUGGCUUUCCUAUCGCUGGUUCCAUAGAGUUUAUCAACCAAGCGAUAACUAGAGAGUUCUCUGAAUGCCAUCUCUUCAAAUUGGGAUCUUCAGCAGCUGGUUGUUGAAUUUCUCCAGUAAGGUGGCCGAGUUUACCUCUGCCAUCGAUAGCCAGUUUUACGGAUUGAGCCCAUUCCAGAUAAUUGGAACCAUUUAAUUUAUGAACGGUUAUUUGUAGAGAAGAAUUUGAAGCGGAGUAAUCUGUAGUUUGGAUAACUACUGAAGACGAGGAUGAGUCUUCUCUUGUGUGAGCAGUCGAUCCAGUCAUGGCUGCUCGGUAGUUCAUGGCAGGAAUUGGUACAGAGCCGGAGCUCUGAUACCAUGUAAAUUUUAAAAGAAAAGGAAAAUGAACAAAAAACUCUACUUUUCUUUAUUUUCCCACACCCUAAAAUAUGCUUACAAGGUAAGCAUUUAUAGGACAACCCUAUCAUAGUUCUGCCACCACUUAAGGUAAUAGAACCAUGAUUUUAGGGAUUACAUAAUCAACUCAUAUCCUAUCUAUUCAAACUUGAUUGAUCAUAAGCAAUAAAAUCCCAUAAUCAUGGGAGGUAAUAUCUCUCAUAAUCAUGGGAGAUAAUUAUGGAAGAUAAUAUCUCCCAUAAUCAUAGGAGAUAAUAUCUUUGACAGUUGUCUACAUGAUCUGUCUGUGGCAGUUAAACCUCCAAUCACCACACAGAAAUUCAGCAUUCCAAAAGAUUUUUGGAUUGCCACCUAAAGAGUAUCUCAUUAGUGAUUUUUCACGCUCCCUUAAGAGAAAGAUGCCAUUGCAGGUAAGGUUGCAAGGAUCUUGUUUAUAUUGCUUUCAUCAAAUUUUUUUUUUUUCUUUCAUUACCAUUAGUAGGACGGAGAACUAAUAAAUAUUUAUACAGGAGACAAAGUUUUAUUGGUGGACGUCUGGUUGAUUUCUGAAAUAUUUAUCUUAAUCUCCUCGCCAUUUUUAGUUUGACAAGACACAAAAGGAAAUGCAAAUGCAUCUAACAUUAUACUUUAUGGAUUAGUGGAUGUAAAUUUUCUAAUUGAUAAAAGUGAUGUCUAUAAUGAUGUCUUGCAGUUUUAGAAUUAGCUUUUAUUUUUACUUUAUUGGACUGCUCCCAAUAAAAUGUAGAAGUUUUGGCUUUGAUGGUUCUGUGGUUUCUGAUCCAUGUUAGCCAUGAUGGAGGUCGUAAAUAUUCAUUGUUGAGGAAAUGGUGGUGAAAAAUCCUGAUGGAGAUCCUAAAUGUUAAAUAGCUGUAUUUUUUCUUCUUCUCUUAUUUCCAUUGCGGCAGGCCAUCUCACUCUACAUUUUCUCAGUUUUUGCCUGUCUCUACCUCUAUUCUGAGCAAGACCAAUACUUGGUCCAGGGACAGCUCUUUCUAUCAGCGAGAAUUGUUGGAUUCUAUGCCAACUUGUUUGGGCAUAAAACCUAGUUUUUCAUUCCUUUUCAUUCCAUGGGAGAACAUUGAACAUAUUCAUGAGCUUUUCCCAUCACUAGGAACAGUAGAAAGUCCUUCACUUGUCAUAAUCUUGUCUAUGCGUCGUGGUAAUGAUGCUAGAAGGCAGGCUGCAUUUCUAUUUUCAUUCAUUCAUUUCCUUCAACGUUGCCAGCAGGUAUAGGCAGUGCAUGUGCUCUUGUGAAUUUUCAUAGUGGAUUGUUUUGAUCUUUCUUUGUUACGAACCAGAUCCAGUGAUCAAAAUUGAGUGAACGCUAACAGGACAGUAAUGGUUGUGUGGACAAAGAGAAAAUUAGGUCCUGAUCAGAGAGCACAGAUUGCAGAGGAACAGCAGGACAGAGAUUAGAAGCUUAGUUUGCUUGAAGACUUCGAUCCUAUUUGAUUGUCCAAGAUGCUAGAUUGGCCAAGGUUUUAAGUGUGGAACUUCCUGUGAAUGUAUGUAUCUCAUUCUUUGUGCUUAAAACCAUAUAAUCCAUCGCAGGUGCUUAUAUUAAAAUUUUGUUCUUUUUGCUUAAUAAGAUUUAUUAGAUAAAAGUUCAUAGAGUGUCAUGAGAUUCUGUUGAAUUUGUAUAUGUAUAUCAGCCCUGUGGCAAGAUUAUAUAUGUUAAUCAUUGUUAAACUUUGUAAGUUGUUCCAAUAGUACUUGAAGCUGGAAAGUAAUAAAAAAAUGUUUGCAACAAGAAACAAGUUCCUCAAUAUGUGGCAACAAAACUGCUCCCCCAAUGCCAUAACUGGUCCUUGAAAGUGUCUAAGUUACAAUAUUAUUUCGCAACCUCUCUCUUGGCAGAUCCAACUGAUAACCUUCUUCAGAAACCAGCUCAACAAAGAAGCCUUAGGAAAAUGUUCUGAACAUAAUCUUCAAGCUGAGGUAGCUGCAUGGAGUAGUGAACUUGAAAUGGGGCUGCUGCGGAAGAUAGAUAAGCGAGUCACCCAAGGGACAGACACAGAAUCUAUCAAAGUGGAUCAACCUCACUCACUGAUUUCUGAACCUCUUGCUUAACAAUAGGAGGGCAAACUGAGAGGCCAGGCUCCCGAGUACCUGACACGUAAACAGUAAAGUCAUGAUCAGUGCCUGUAGAGAUGCAGAUUGAUAUCAUGAUCAGUGGCAAUGUAGGAGACCCUAUCAAGAAACCAGAGGGGGAAAAUAGGAGAGGAGGGAAAUUCAAUCUAGAGGGAGGCAGCUAUUGAAGGACAUUACUGGGAAAAUUAGUGACCAGGAUGCUAAGAUAAAGAGGAAACUCAUGCUCAGAGAUUAGAAGAUGGCGGAUGUUGAACCUAGCACUCAAGUGUUUAAGAAGUGCAAAACUCCAGAGCCUCUAAGUUGGGAACACAAUGCAGAGACGGUGUUUUGGGAAGGGGGGGUGGUGAGGAUCAGCCUUAGCUGUGAAUCCCGUUGUAACUGUGAAUUUCGUUAUAACAUACUAGUUGUUCUUGGAGGAUGUCUUGGAAUGGUUUGCCAUGCAUUUUGGGGUAACUAUCAUCACACUGACGUUUGGGUGCUGAAAGAGUAUGGAAUGCCGGAAUCUUGGACUAAAUAUCGUGUUGCCAUACCUCAAGAUGCAUAUUCAUUUGUACCUAAUUGUCAAUUCGGGAAUCAGGGGGUUGUUUUGCUAAAGGAUAGCCUGAAAUUGAUUUUGCAUAAUUUGAAGAAGGAAACUUCGAGGGAUAUGGUGGUUGCUGGCAUGCUGGAUGCACUUCCAAAUAAAAUAAUGAACUUUUCUGAGAACCUUGUUUCACCCAGUUGCUCUGGCUGGGAUGGAAAGCAACAACCAGGAGGAUAAAAGUUAAAUUUUGAUGCUCGAUGAGGUAAAACUUUCAAGUCUAUUGAUUCAUGUGACCUUGCUUUUAUCUGGAGUAGUCAUCAAAUAUUAGGCAUUAUAUGUAUAGAUGACUACAUAGUUAUCUCAUACACUUCUUCAGAAAAGCUUGGAUAUCGUAUUGAUUUAAGUUAUGGUAGAUCCAAACACAUAGACAAAUUAAAGUAGAUCUACUGCAUUUCAGCUAAAUUCAUUGAACCAAAAGUAUUUUAACAGCGAAAUGCCUACUUAGCAUUUUGGCUCUCAGUCAGGUGAAUAUUUUAAUUGCUGUUUCAUUGGAGGACAAUUAGAUUCUUUUUGUAGCCACUUCAAGUUAUCAAGGUGAUUGCUAUCUCUCAAUGCUUUGCCCCAAAAGACGAAAAGAAAGCUAAAAGUUGUUUUUCUAUCUUGGAUUGAUGGGACCAUGUCCAUUUGCAGAUUCAUCUUCGUGUAGAAGUCAUUCUACCAGAUGUUUUCGCACUUUUUUUUUUAUAUUUCAGGUUGAAUUAUAGAAGCAUCUGUUUUACUUAAUUUCUCCUGUUUUUGGAUAUUCAAUCAGCUCAAAAGUAGUAUCAAGGUGCAUCCUUGAACCAAGUUUGAGCUGCUCUAGAUUAGGUGAAUAUCUUGCCUGACUUCCUGAAUGUCAAGAUAUGCCUGACUAAAGAGUGCAAAUAACCACGAGAAUUUGUCUUGCAGAAUACAGAGGUUCAGUUUCUGAAUGGGGGUUUCCAUUUCAUUUUAAUCUUCCUGAUAACAUUAACUUUGUAAGCAUAUCUGAACAUUAACUUCGUAAGCAUGUCUGAACAUUAACUUCGUAAGCAUCUCUGAAGCAUUUCUUGGUGUUUUAAUUGAUUGACUCAGUCGAAAUAAAGACUUUCAAUUCAGCAUGCAAAAGAAUAUUUUGCUGAUUUUUUAUUGAGAUAGUAUUGAAGAGUUUAGGAGAUGAAGGUCACAUAAAGGGGUUCUAGAAAUUGAAUGACUUGCUGUUGAGAAUGCAUUUGGCCUAUAAAGAAAUUGAAUGACUUACUAAUGUCAAAGUUAAUGUUCUUUUAUCUCUUUCUUUUCUGUUGAUGUCCAAGUUAUUAUCUCUCCUUCAGAUUUCCUUUAUUUGGUGAUGCAGCAUAUGCCAGUUUUAACGGAUGUUAUUGAAAGAAAAUGAGUUCAAAGCAAACUCUGAAUACUAGAUAUGACCUCAAAAUAAUAGCGGUCAAGGUCGGCCAGUAAGACGAUGGGGGAUAAGCUUUGUCGUCGAGAGGGAAAUAGCUCGGAUCACCAGCUAAGGCCCCUAAAUGACUGCUUAGUGAUAAAGGAGGCACGGGUGCAGAGUCAGAUAGCCAGGAGGUUUGCCUAGAAGCAGCCACCCUUGAAAGAGUGCAUAAUAGCUCAAAUAAGAUGGCUUCUACUGUAUGCUGGUCAAGUUGAAGGCAAGUCAGUAACCUAGGUUGUGUCUGGCAUUAGAAUGCGUUCACUAAUCAAACACGCUGAACAACUUUCUUAUGCCAGCAAAUCGAGCAUUUUACUCCUUGAUGUAUCUUUUAAAUCCAGUGUCCUAUUUUUUCCUUUUGCAUUCAGAUUUUCUCAUUAUUUUCAUAUGCUUGAGUUUUCUUAUGUAUCUAAGAGAUUCAUGAUUUCAAUCAGCACAGCUCCGCACUAAAACUAAUUGGUUUACCCGUCCAUGGAUAUGAAUCUUUUACUAUGGCAAGUUGGUGAAAUAUGCAUUUCCAUGGGUUUUGCCCUCAUUCAGUGUAAUGUAUGAUGGUCGUAACCUUUAUGGCAGGUACUUGCAAGAAAUUUAUACAUAGAAUUGCUUUUCCUUCUUUCCUCAGUUAUCAGGUUCCUUUAUGAGAUUUCACCGACUUAUAAAGCUCUGCAGCAUUUGCUUGCUUCCAUUUUGCAUUGUAUGUAUGACCAGAUGAGAAAGCACCGUACAUGUUUGCUUUGAUGCAGCUGCAUUGGUCAGCACAUCCUACAGAGAAACAUUAUGAAGCAGGGACAGAACUACAAAUUGCUUCAAUGUCCUGAUUAUGAAGUAUAUGGAGAUUCACCAUGCGUGCUGCAGAUGUGGAUUUACAUUGACCGAAACUUAAAAGAAUGAACAAUGCUACUUUGUAGUAACACUUGUGCGGGAACUUGAUAAUCGAGUCACAACGUCCGUCAACUUCUUCCACAAUACUUUUUCUGUUUGCACUUGAAUUUGAUGUUUUCGUCACUCUCAACUCUUUUGUAGAACGGCAAAUUUAUGCUGCAUUAACCCUCCAGUAGGAAACUUGGGACCUAGUACUGUGCUCAACAGACUAACAUGCCCACAUAUCCUAGUAGUAAACUUGGCAAAUUUAUGCUGCAGUAGCAUUCAACCACCAGUAGGAAACUUGGGACCUAGUACUGUGCUCAACAGACUAACAUGCCCACAUAUCCUAGUAGUAAACUUGGCAAAUUUAUGCUGCAGUAGCAUUCAACCAUAGCUAGCAUACAGCCACCAGAUAAAAACUUGAUUGGGACAGAAUGUAAUAUUACACGGCUAAUGCUCACCAAUUGACCACUCUUUAUACGUGGGGGCGUUUGUACUCGUGAAUUCGAAGGAUUCAUCUAAUCCAUCUUGUCUGUGCCCCCCAAGUGGAAAAUGUGGCAUAAUCCUAUAUGUUGCUACACUAAAAUAAAUAAAAAUUACCAAAUCAGAUGCACCUUAAACAAAUAAAAAACCGAGUCCACAGUUCUAUCGCUCAUUAUCUCUAACCUGCUAUCUUUGACUGAACUACAAAAAUGUGCUCAUAAUAGCCAUAUCUUACACGUCGUCCCAACUUUGCGCCCUAAUCUGAAUUUCAAGAGUAUGCUAUUUAAGCUGCACUUUUAAGAAAGGUCACAAGCAAUUUUGUCCCCUUUGAAGCUUUGGACAUCUGGCUUUCAAGGACCACCCUUUAUCAGUAAAUUAAAUUACAUCUGACUUUGAUGUGUAGGCGUGAUACAUGAGUAUCUACAAUCUGAUUAUAAAGCACUUUAGAAAGGAAUUACUGCAUCUCUAUCUCACCAGAAAUUCUGUCAAGAUCUCAAAGAAAAAGGAAAAACACAGCAGCUAUGUCGGAUUAUACUCCAAUUUUGCCCCAAGAACUCAUCACCGACAUACUCUUGCGCCUCCCUGGAAAAUCCAUAGGCCAGUUCAGGUGUGUUUCUAGGCCAUGGCUCUCUUUACUCUCCGACUCACAUUUCAUCAAAUCCCAUUCAACACUCCUGAGCAGCCAUGACCCGGGAAAGUUCAUCCUCGUUUCUGACUCUGAUCACACCCUUCACACAAUAACUUUAACUCCCAGCACCAGCACCAGCAGCAACACCAGCAGCAGCCGCCAAGAUGCCGUUGCAAGAAAGAUCAGUUUUCCACAGUGCCCAGACAAGUGGGAAACAGUGGUGGGUUCAUGCCAUGGUUUGGUCUUAGUACGAACUGAUGAACGUAGCUUGUAUUUGAUCAACCCCACAACUUUGGAGAGAGUAAAAAUCCCAAGUUUUCCUUUGGCUUUGGACCCUUCUGCUAGUUUUAGCAUGCACGGAUUUGGCUAUGAUGAUUGGACCGAUGAUUAUAAGAUUGUUACGCUUUCAUACUAUGACACGGACAAUGAACACGAGCCUGAUUGUGCUGAUACUUUUGUUGAUGUUUAUAGUGUAAAGACAAGAACUUGGAAGAGAUUUGAUCCAUCUCCUUGUGAUCAUGCUGUUCCUGAUCUUGCCUCAGGGGUAUUCCUCAAUGGGGGUCUUCAUUGGUUGGCUUCUGAUAGAUCUGAAGGCUAUCCAUCUGUUAUUGCUGUUUUCCUUUUGGAUGGCGAGGAUUUUGAGGAAGUGCCACCUCCUAGUAGUCUUGAUAGAGGUAAAUUUGUGUUUAACAAGCUCGUGGUUCUUGAAGGAUGUCUUGGAAUUGUUGUCGAUAAUUAUAAUGAUCAGGUAGAUGUUUGGGUAAUGAAACAGUAUCGUGUCCAAGAAUCCUGGACAAAGUUUACUAUUAAUGUACAUGAAGAUACUGAUAUGCUUAAACCUAUAUGUAAAUUGCGGGACGAGGAGAUUGUUUCGGAGAAGGAUGAGGAGAAGUUGGUUUUGCAUAGUUUGAGAGACGGGACUUCAAGGGAAAUGGUGGUUGCUGGUCUUCCAGAUACGUUUGAACAUGGAGUGAUGACCUUUUCGGAGACCCUUCUGUCACCAAAUUUCUAUAGUCUGAAUGCAGAAAUGCAUAAUUCUGAGGGCCAAAUUGAAGCUUGAUGCUGUACAAGGUAAAACUUUCAACUUCUAUGACUUGCUUUUAUCCUAGAUUUGUCAUGAAGGAUUAGCAGUACGUUAAUGACUUGAUAGUUGUCCAAUGCCCUACUGAGGAGAGCUUGGAUAUGUAUUGGUUAAACUUUUACUAAUAGUUGCAAUCAAAUUAACUCCACUUUAGAUCAUUCAUGUAUAGCACUCUGAAAAGGAGAAAGGAAAUUAAUAUAGAAGUACUUGAUAGAAGUUCUGCUUGUACAUGUGAAUAUCCUAUUUGGCUUUGAGGUUAUACAGUUUGGUGAUACUAUAAUGAAUUAAUCAUUUUAUGGAGGACCAAUUGAUUAGCAUACAGAUUUGGAAGACUAUUGGUUUCUUUGUGAGGCUGGUGCAUGUUAAGCAAGGCCAUUUGCUAAUCGCUGAUGCUUUAAUGCUAAACUUGAAAAAGAAAGCUUGAGAACAAAUGGGUACUGAGAAGAUGAUCAAAUUUGUCUGGAGAAACCACAAAGCAUGAAGCCGCAAAUUAGGAUUUCAUAGGUAAUCUUCACUGUAUGUCACUUAUGCUGCAUAAGUAAAAUCCAAUUAGUCAGAGACACUCGUAAUCGAGUUUCCACAUCUCAGUAUAUUCUUUGUCUGAUUUCAACCAUAACCUUCAUAUGUCUUUCGAUGUGGUACAAAUGUACUGCUAUUCCUGGACAACAGAUGGUAGAUCUCUAAGAAUGAAAGUAGAAUCUGAGUUAUUCACCUAACAAUCAUUUUCUUAUGGUAAUGGAUACAGCCUGUCAUUCCUAUUUGUGCUGGUGGCCUUAUUUCAGCCCCACACCAACCUUAACCCUCUGAACUCUAACAUCACCGCUGGCACAGCAUCUCCAUGCCACCCAUUGUGAUACAGAAGUUUUCUAUUUGGAGUCUCAAGUAAAGAAUUAAGAAGUUUGGGGUGGAAUUGAGAAGGUUAGGGAAGUGGGAUUGGAGUGUAGUUAAAUAAAGUAUUGGAAGACGUAAGUUGGUAGUGGGAUUCUACCAUUCAAGAAACUUAUUACCAUUUCCUUAAUUCUUUCCUUCUUCUUCUUCUGAUUCACUCUCAUAUUCUUCUUCUUUCUUCCAAUCAAAGAGGGUUUUUGGAGGAUAACAGUCAAGUGACUGGUGAGGACAUUGGGAACUCUUCUUUGUUUACUAUUUAAGGUAAUCCCUUUCAUGUUUAAGUUGUUAUAGCUUUAUUUGAUGAAAGUUUGAUGGAUAAAAAGCGAGUUUUGUGUUUAGAUCCUUAUUUGGGUUUCAAGUAUAUGGCUUAGUUGCAUAUGGUUUUGAUGUAGUUGGGAAUGAAUAUUUCUCUACAUUAUUAAAUUUGUAAGAUUAAGGUGUGAUUGUGGAGUUGGUUAUAAUUAAAGCAUUGGUUGGUUCCCUGAAUGUCCGGCUAUGAGAUAUAUUCUGAAAAUUUGAAUUGGUUUAUGUAAUUGGCUUUGUUACAUGUUGGUCUUAAGUUAUUGUUGUCAUUUGAAAUGGAAAUUAAGGUUGCGUGGUUUGGGGCUGGAAUAAUCGCUGCGUAUCUUGGUAUUGAACUUGUAAUUAAGGAUUAGACAUGGCAGAUAGAUUGGAUUCUAGAUAAUUCACAUCUAAGAAAAACUUGGAUUUCAAUAAUUUCGCGAUAACAGUCAGCCUUGUACAAUCUUAAACAACUGAUCAUAACUUGGUGUAGAAAUGUCAAAACUGAGUGAUUUUGGUUGCAUUUGAAACUAGAUCUUUCCAACAAUAUAAAAUUCUGAUUUUGAUUCUUUCCCUAUUGAUACCAGAAAAUUUGGAAAUUUGACUAAAAUUCUGGUUCUGCUCAGUACAGUACUAGAAAUGUCCUGACUCGAGCAAAAAAUAGGUCAGUUUACAUUUCGAGUCACAUAAUAUUGUCUUUUAGCGAUUAUUAGUAUUAGGAAUCUAAUUUUAACGGUACUAAUUUUGUAACUUUCGAUGAGUAUAGCUGAUAAGAGUAUAUUUUACGUAUUUUUAGUGUGUUUUAUUAGUUAAUUUUGGUUUGAUUAUUUAGUUUAAUAACUAAAAUAACUAAGGUUUUGGUAAAAAACUACAUUUUAUGUUAAAAUGGCUAAACAUUGCAUUUUAUGGAUUUUUAUGGUAAAAACUUCAUAUUUUGUAGGUUUAAUGAUUCAAUCAUCAAAUGAAGUGCAUUGAGAAGAUAUUUGGAUGAUUGAAGAUGGAUUAAAGUGGUGAAAAUAAAAUAUGAAGUGUAAAAAGGAAAAAUGCAAUUUGAAUCAAGAAAAGUCAGGUUUUGACAACUCUGACACGUUUUGGUAUUUUGACUAUAUAUGGAGCUACACUGAUCGGAUCAAGGUGAUCUUGGUACCAUUUUGAAGCUAAGAGAUAUAUCUACAUUUGGUAUGAAGACAUCAAAGUCCAAUUCAGCCGUUUUCAUAGUCCAAAAGUUGAAAUACCGAAAUUCAACUCAGCUGUCCAAAGUGGAAAACAGAGUUCUGACCAGUCUUUAGUAUUUUGGUCAUAUCUCAGGCUAAAAAGCUCCGAUCUGGAUGAUUUUUAGAGCAUUGGAAAGCUAACUCAAAGGGCUACAACUUUGAUGUUUUUCACAAAAGCCAGUUCAGCCUUUAUGAUAGAGAAAAUUGCAGUUGAAGUAAGGACAAAGUGAAUACGCGAGUACACAAAACGUGACUUGUAACCGCGUUUUGUGUAGGCGCGUUUUCUGGCCGCAAUUCUGCAAUUUGCUCAGUCAAUUCUCUUGUGCUCUGACUACUUUCCAUCUAUAAGUUGCAAGAGAAUUCGGUGCACAUGCUUUAGAAGACAAAAGGGCAAGAAAGUUGGCAUAUUUUCAAGUCAAAAACAAUGGCUAUUGAUAAGAGUUUAUUUUACGUAUUUUUAAGUGCAUUUUAUUAGUUAAUUUUGAGUUGAUUAUUUAGUUUUAUAAUUAAAAUAAAGAGGUUUUUGGUAAAAUUAUAUAUUUUUGGUAAAAGUGGAUAAUAUUGCAUUUCUAUUGAUUUUAAUAGUAAAAACUUCAUUUUUAUGCAGGAAUAAUGAAUCAAUCACCAAAGGAGGACAAUUGAGGUGAAAAAUAGAGAUUUGGUGAUAAAUUUAAGUGGCAACAAGAAGAAUGAAGUGAAAAACGUUCAAGUGAGGAAAUGCAAUACAAGUCAGUUUUGACACUUUUCAGUAUUUUGACCAUAUCUGGAGCUACACUUAUCGGAUUGAGGUGAUUUUUAUACCAUUUUAAAGCUAAGAAAGAGACCUACAAUUCGUAUGAAGACAUCGAAAUCCAUUUCUGCCAUCUUCAUGGGCAAAACGUUGGAAUACAGAAGCUGCACCCUGUGGUCGGAAGUUAAAACAGAGGUUUGAACAGGUGACAGUAUUUCGAUCAUAUCUCAGGCUACAAAGCUCCGAUUUGGAUGAUUCUUGAAGCAUUGGAAAGCUAACUCAAAGGGCUACAACUUUUGUGUUUUGCACAAAAGCUAGUUCGGCCUUUAUGAUAGAGAAAAUCGCAGAUGAAAUAAGGCCAAAGUGAAUACGCGAGUACACAAAACGUGACUUGUAACCGCGUUUUGUGUAGGCGCGUUUUAUAGCCGAAAUUCUGCAAUUUGACUCAGCCAAUUCUCUUGUGUUCAUACCACUUUCCAGCUAUAAGAUGCAAGGGAAUUCGGUGCACAUGCUUCAGAAGACAAAAGGGCAAGAAAAGUGGCUUAUUUUCAAGUCAAAAAUAUUGGUUUUUGACUAUGCUAACAAAGUGGAGAUUUGGGAAUCAAAGGAUAGAAUUUGACUUGGAAAAAUGGAGCAUUUGAGUGUUUUUUAUGCAGAGAUAUGGGGAGAGAUCUGGGAACCAUUCGUAGCUUAGCUUCUUACAGAAAAACAUAGUCUCUCUAGCUAGGUACUUGCAAAGGACAAUUGAGGUUUCAUCUUGUAAUCAUCUAAGUUCAAGACAAGGAGAUUUUUGGAAGGCUUCACCAUAUCUUGGCUAAGACUUUCUUUACUCUUUUUGUAUUUGUAAAUUCAUGAUGAUUUGCAUUAAUGAAGUUAUGAGUGUUUCAUCAUUCAUGAGUAGCUAAUUUCCUUUAUCUAGGGAGUAGAUGAAGCUUAUGGCCAAAUGAUAUGAAGUGAUUGUGAUUUAUGCUUGUUAUGUCUUGUAUUAACUUAUCUACUUGUGUAUGUUGGAUUACUUGUUGCUUGAUCACCAAUAGCAGGUUUAUAGUUGUUUUUACUCAUUGAGAAAUGGUAAAAAUAAUGGAAUGACAUAAGUAGAGCUUGAGUAGUAUAUUCAUGAGAAUAGAAAUACAUUCAAGUGGAUGAAAUCUGCAUUUCAUGUGUGAAUAAGAACAGAUUUAGUAUUUACCAAGAGAUUAGGAAAAACUAAUCUGUUUUAACCCAUUAUUAUCAUGAGAAUGUGAUUUUGGUAUUUCUGGAAAUGAAUCCUUGGUUAAACAAGAGCAGUAACAAGUGUUGAAUUAAUUCAUUUUAGAUCUUUUGUGUUAUAAGUGGAAUCUACAUCCCUAGAUCUUAAUAUUUAGUGAAUUCUACUCCUAUUGUGAAAUUGCAUUUAUCUAUUUAAGAAUUUUUGUAGUUGAAUUAAAAUCUGAAGUUUCUGCUCAAAUUAAUUGUAAGUCUAAAUAAUAGAGUAAAUUAGUAUCUAAUAAUUGUUUUAAAUUGCUCCUCGUGGGAUCGACCCGAUACACAUCUCGUACUACAAUUGCGACCUGUAUACUUGCAGUCCAACGGGUGUAAAUUCGGAAUUAAACUUGCACUUAAAGUAAAAACCCGUCAAGUUUUUGGCGCCGUUGCCGGGGAGCGGCAAUAUUAGAGCCUAAUCAUCUUUAUUAAUUUAGACAGUAUUAUUUUUUUUAUAUUUAAUCUUAUUUUGUAAUCAGUUUUUGACAAUUGAAGUUGCAUAAUAUCCCUUAUUUCUGUUUGUAGUGUAUGCACCGGGAGUCUCGAGAAGUCGUACCUGUCGAUCCAGAAAUUGAGAGGACACUACGUAGACAAAGGAGGCACACACAACAGCAAGAGGAACAAGAGAUUUGGCAACCGAUAGAGGAAAUUUUGAUAGAACUACCAUUUGCGGAAGAGAUGGCCGAAAAUGACCCAAAUAGGCGAGUUCUACGAGAUUAUACUCUACCGGGAACACAAGGAUCUCAAACAAGCAUACUGCAGGUGGAGCUUUAAUGGGUAAAUCACCCCAAGAGGCUCAUAAUUUGAUAGAAGAAAUGGCAGCAAAUAACUACCAAUGGGCCAAUGAGAGAGGUAAUACAAGACGUCACGCAGGUAUGAUAGAAAUGGACACUCUCAAUAUGCUGAGUGCUCAAAUGAAUAAUGUGAUGAAGUUAUUGAGUAGACAAGGUGGAGUUAGUCCAAGUUCAUCUAAUGCUCACGUAGCUUGUUGCUCUUUCUGUGGAGGUGAACAUGAUAUUAAUGAGUGUGUUGAUUCUGAGCAGGUACAAUUUGUUAAUAAUUACAACCGAAAUGCUCCAAAUAAUCCCUACUCGAAUACUUACAAUCCGGGGUGGAGAAAUCAUCCAAACUUUGGAUGGAAAGAUCAAGGCAAUCAACAAAGGCCAACCAAUCCGCCGGGAUUUCAACCAAGGCAACCACAGGCUGAAACUAAACCAAGUUGGGAGAUCGCGGUGGAAAAACUUGCUAAGGUGACUUCGGAUAGAUUCGAGCGAGUUGAGGGGCGGUUGGACCAAUUAGCUGGGAUGUACAGAAACUUGGAGGUUCAAAUUGGUCAAAUUGCCAAUGUGAUCAACAAUAGAAACCCUGGUGAAUUACCAAGUAAAACCGAAGUGAAUCCGAGAGAGCAUGUCAAUGCAAUCAUUCUUAGAAGUGGUAAAACGGUUGAGGGAUUCGAUUUUGAAAAUUCAGGUGGUGAAAAAGACAAGAUGCAUGCAAUUGAAGGGGAGCAAGAAAGUCAAAAUGAUCAUGUUAUCAUUGAUAUUGAUGCACUUCAUCCCAAAUUAAAUUCUCAUUUAAAUUCUAAUGUGAUACCUUUUCCUCACAGGUUGAAGAAAGAUGGACAGGAUCGGGAGUUUGAAAAGUUCUUCAAAAUGUUUAAACAAUUGCACAUUAACAUUCCUUUCAUUGAUGCUAUAACACAGAUUCCCUCUUAUGCACGUUUCUUGAAAGACAUCAUGUCAAAGAAGAGGAAAAUUGUAGAUAAUGAGAUGAUAGCAUUAACGGAAGAGUGUAGUGCAUUGAUUAAGAAUAAACUCCCUCCUAAAUUGAAAGAUCCGGGAAGUUUUUCUAUUCCUUGCACUAUUGGUCAAUUGCAUUUUUCUAAUGCUUUAUGUGAUUUAGGUGCAAGUGUGUCACUUAUGCCGUUAUCGGUUGCCCGGAGAUUGGGACUUCAAGAGCUAAAAGCUACCAAUAUUACAUUGCAAUUGGCGGAUCGGUCAAUCACACGUCCCAUGGGUAUUUUGGAAAAUGUGCUCAUAAAGGUAAGACAAUCUAUAAUACCUGUGGAUUUUGUUGUCUUAGAUAUUGAAGAAGAUGUGAGAAUGCCAAUUAUUCUAGGACGACCGUUUUUAGCCACUGCACGAACUAUGAUUGAUGUAGAAAAAGGUAAGCUUAUAUUACGGGUUAAUGGUGAGGAAUUGGAAUUCAAUUUGGAAAAUAAAGAAGGGAAUAUAGAGCCUACUGCUCUUGUUUCUAAUAUGCCAUAUGAUGAAAAGGUUAACCAAGAAAGGACCGAAGAAGUUAAAUUUAUAAAUGUCCUUGGUACUAACUUUCAUGGUGUAGGAACAAAGGAGGAGAAGAUAAGGAUGGAAGUUGGCUUAAUAAAUUCUCCAUUCCAUGAAGAAAAUGGUGAAAAGUUGAGCCAAUUCAGAAAAGACAAGCAAAAUCCACUCCAAGGUGAAGUUGAGCCUCUCUAUGACAAGUCUAAUAUUCCUCCUUGGCAUUUGAGGAAAUUGGACUAUGAAGAUCAAUGCAUGGUUCACCACAUGGUGGAUUGGCUCGGGAGUUUCGACCCAUGGGGAGAAAAUCGCUCCCUAAUGCUCUAAAGUGAUUCAACUCUUUCCGUCGAGCCAACGACUAUAAACAAAAGCGCUAAUUGGGAGGCAACCCAAUGUUUAUGUUAUUUGUGUUAAAUUUUUGUGAUUUUUAGACUUGAAUAAGUGUUUUAGUUAAUUUGUUGUUUUUGUGUGAUAGGGUUGGCAAAUGGAAGCAAGAAUGACCAUUUGAGGUGAAAAGGGCGAACUUUGAUCAAACAACUCAACCCCUCGAUUUGCGUUAAAGGUGUUUUUGAUUCAUUAUAAAGGGGUAAAAUACAUGUUUUUAAUGUUUUACAUUUGUUCCAGUCAUUAAAAUUGGCAAACAAAUGAUCUAUGAUGCAUUUUGAGUCAUUGGGGUACCUUUUGUAAUUUUUCAAAAGUUGAAAUUCUGCUAAAAAUCGAAGCAGAAAACGCGUUUGCAAAUAAAACGCGACUAAAAGUCGCGUUUCUCAGAAUCGCGUUUUCAAUUCUGCACCUGCAGAACAGAAAACGCGCCUUCAAAACGCGACCUAAAGUCGCGUUUUAAUGGAAGUCGCGUUUUCAAGCCUGGAUCAAGACUCAAAAACGCGACUUCAGAAACGCGACUCGAAGUCGCGUUUUCCAUCACAGUCGCGUUUUCAUUCCUGCAAGAUUUGUGCAGAAAACGCGACUUGAAAAACGCGAGUUGAAGGCGCGUUUUUAGUCGCGUUUUCCGUAUCUGAAUAUAGCCUUCAGAAACGCGAUUUCAGCCUUUCUUCUUCACUUCUCCAAUUUUUCCAGCCGCGUUUUUCCCUCUUCCUUCUACCCAACUCACAAAUCUUCAUUUUUACUCCAUAAUCUUGCUAGAAAUCAUCACCCCAACACCUUUUGAGCUUCAUACAACCUUUUUAACCGAUUAAAAUUCAAGAAAAACACUUAAAAUCAGGUUUUUGAAGCAUUGAAGGUUAGGGUUCUUAAACUCCAAUUUCUUCAAUUGGAGGUCAAUUGGAGGUUGUUUCAUAGGGCUUUUUGCAUUUUUAGCAUCACCAAACAUCCUUCUACGUGACUGAGGUAAGUUUCUUCAUCAAAUCUUUUGAUUUUAGAAGUUCAUAUUUUUUAUCCUGAGCUAUCUGACAUCUUUUAAUUUCGAAAAUUUGAUGAGGUUCAUGGCUAUUUUUGAUUUUAUUCAUGAUUAUUAUGAUUGUUUAAGCAUGUUUAAAUGUUUAAAUGUAGCAAUUUAUUGGUUUUCAAGUACUUUAAAAUUCACAAUUGCUAUAUUUAGAUGAAAUUGGAAAAAGGAACUAGGAUGUUUUCGAGCCAUUGGUGCUGUUAAAUUAUGGUUAAAAAUGGUUAGUUGAUGAUGUUUAAGCAUGUGCAUUGUGUAUAGUGAGUAAUUUGGUUGAUUUGGGGAGUUAAUUAGUUUAAUUUUUGCCUAAACAUGAUUAUAGCUAAAAGCAUAUUAUUAUUGUUAAUUCUAAAUAGUUAUAAUCAUAAUUGUUCCUAUUUUCACUAAUUAAAUUAUAAUUGAUACAUAUCUUGUGUAAUUUGGUGAUUUUGGGCAACUUUAGGCAGAAAAUAUGUCUUGUACGAUCAUUGAAUGAUUAGAACUUGAGCAAUUGUAUUUGAGGUUAUUUGGAUUAAUGCUGAACUUUUGUUGCCAAAAAAAUGAGUUGUAGUACAUGUGAAUAAUUGAAAUAUUUUUUAGGUACUAUGCCAAGAGGAAGAAGAGCGGUACUUUCAUCCUCUAGUAGUGAGGACAGGGAGGUUAAUGAAGAGAUGGAGGUGACUGAAGAGGAGAAUUCACCUUCUCCUCCACCAAUUAACCGUCGACCUGGUGAGGGCACCUCCCGUGGAGCGGGAAGAUCGGUAUUUGACAGUGCUAGGUUCAACACUCGCAGGAAUCAGGAGUGGCAUGAGGCGCGUGCUAAUUUGGAGUUUUUGUUUGAGAUGCACGUCAGUCCACCAGUUGAGAUGAUGUACAACAUCUCAGAAGCUUUUGCUCAGCUAGGAUGGGCUCCGAUUCUCACCCUUCCAAACCAUUACUACCCAGACCUGGUGCGCGAGUUUUACGCCAACAUUGAAAGUAAGGCGCGCCAUAGUGGAGAAAUAAUUGAGUCCUGGGUGCGUGGAAGACGAAUCACCUUGUCACGGCAAGAUUUGGCUGCUAUUUUGGGGUGUAUGGAUGACGGACGUCCAGUAGACUUGAAGAAGGAGUUUGUUCCCCCGAAUAGGAGGUGGGAUCCAUCAUUGGCCAUGGCUAGGUUUGGUCUCGAGUACCAACCUUUUCGCUCUACCAGAAACGAGACUAUAUUGGCAAAUGUAUUCGAACCUCGUCAUCGGCUUAUCAUUUACAUGAUGGCUCACAAUGUCAUCCCAAAGAAGACGGGGCACACGGAGGUUCGCAAGAGCGAUAUUUACUUCCUUGAUUACAUGUUCCACAACCGAACUUCCCCGUAUGCUCGAAUUUCAUUGCCGAACAUCAUCAUCAGCCACAUUAGGUCUACGGCGAGGCGUAAGACAACUUCUUUCAAACUUUCAUUUCCUCGUCUACUGACUUUAAUCUUCCCCCGUUUUGAAGUUCCCUUGGAAGGCAUGCGGCGGGAGUAUGUUCCACCACGUGCUGAGAUGACUAUCACUACUCUUCGCCGCCUUGGUAUUGGCACGGGAGACAUUCCACGCCCUGUUCAGGAGCGGAGACAAAAGGCUAGACAUGGUCGCGAUGGAGCUGGACCAUCUACUGCAGCACCACCUCCUCCUCCGCCACAGACCAACUGGCAGCGGCUUUUCGGUCGCUUGGACGACAUCGACCAUCAUUUAGCCAGAAUGGAUACUCGCCUGGACCGAAUUGAAGAUCAUUUAGGCACACGCCCACCUCCCAUCGAUGAUGAUGAAGAUGACGAUGAAGAGGAUCAUUGAGGCUGCCCUUUGGCUGGCUUUUCUUUUGUUUGCUUGUUAUUUUUAUCUUUUGUUUGAAAAAUGUUAACUUACAUUCCUUAUUUUGAAUAUUGGAACUUGUGGCAGUAACUAGUAGAUCGUUGACUGUGGAUGGUUGAGCGGUCGAUGACUCAUGAUUCAAGGCUUCACUGGACUGCAGUCAUCUCACUUGGGGAGUCACUUGUUCCUUUCUUUUGUUUCUUUUCUUUUCUUUCCCUACACAUUGAGGACAAUGUGUAUUCUAAGUGUGGGGGAAGAAAUGUGUGGUACUUGUGAUUUUAGUUGUGUUUGAUAUAAUUCUUGUGCUUAAAUGGUGUUUCUUGUGGUUGCUGGCAGGGAGAUUUAGUCCACUUUUAAGGGGAGACUCUGUCAAAAUUUUUCCAAAACCUUAUACAUAUAUAUGUUAUUAACUAUAAUAAAUAAAUAAAAUUUUGUCACUUAUCCUUUUGAAAUAAAUAUAUGCGGUUUUGAUACUUCUUUUCUCAUGAAAUUUGGAAAUGAUUUUUAUGUGAUUAUAAUUUUUACAUCUAUAGGAAAGUAUAUCUAGUAAAGUGGAGAAAAUUAUGCCUACAUUUUGUAUAUUUGAUGAAAAUUCUUCUUUUUAUCUAAUUUUAUAAGAUAAGAAAUUAAUAUGGUUAAUAAGUGUCAUACUCUUCUCAUGAUUACUCUUAGAGGGAAUUUUAUUAUAUAUUGUUAAAAAAAAAAAAAAAUGGUUAUUCUACUCCAAUGAUUCUCGUACCGAGUAACCGGGGGUUGGCAUCUACAAAUGUCGACAUUCGCGUAAAAAGGUACUUGAAUUAAGAGUAUGCAAAGCAACUUGAGUAUGUGAAAUGUUGAGUAACCGGGGAUCUGCAUCUAAAAAUGUUGAUCUUCGCGUCAAAAGGCAUUUUUCACAACUUAAGUAAUAUUUAACCCUUAAAAUAUAUAAAAAAAUAAAAUAAAAUAAAUAAAUAAAAAAAAGUAAAUUAAAUCCCUCUUUAAGAAAAAUAAGAAGUUGAUCAUGAGAUUAGUUAGCAUCUUUAUUGACUAUAGGAGUUGCUUGCUUGCGAAAUUGGAUAAAAAUAAGAAGUUGAGUUGAAUUGGUAAAAUUAUGGUAUACUUGGCUCUUCUUUGCUUGAUAUUAUGAGUACUUGAACUUAAUGGAAAGAUCACAUAAGGGUUAUUUACCUUGAUUCAAGGAAAUGGAGUUGAAAUACUACAUAUGUUUAUUUUCAAUUUUUUUGGAUCAUUGAUGGUUAGAAUUUUAUAUUGGUUGAGGACAAGCAAUGAUUCAAGUGUGGGGGUAUUUGAUAAGAGUUUAUUUUACGUAUUUUUAAGUGCAUUUUAUUAGUUAAUUUUGAGUUGAUUAUUUAGUUUUAUAAUUAAAAUAAAGAGGUUUUUGGUAAAAUUAUAUAUUUUUGGUAAAAGUGGAUAAUAUUGCAUUUCUAUUGAUUUUAAUAGUAAAAACUUCAUUUUUAUGCAGGAAUAAUGAAUCAAUCACCAAAGGAGGUCAAUUGAGGUGAAAAAUAGAGAUUUGGUGAUGAAUUUAAGUGGCAACGAGAAGAAUGAAGUGAAAAACGUUCAAGUGAGGAAAUGCAAUACAAGUCAGUUUUGACACUUUUCAGUAUUUUGACCAUAUCUGGAGCUACACUUAUCGGAUUGAGGUGAUGUUUAUACCAUUUUAAAGCUAAGAAAGAGACCUACAAUUCGUAUGAAGACAUCGAAAUCCAUUUCUGCCAUCUUCAUGGGCAAAACGUUGGAAUACAGAAGCUGCACCCUGUGGUCGGAAGUUAAAACAGAGGUUUGAACAGGUGACAGUAUUUCGAUCAUAUCUCAGGCUACAAAGCUCCGAUUUGGAUGAUUCUUGAAGCAUUGGAAAGCUAACUCAAAGGGCUACAACUUUUGUGUUUUGCACAAAAGCUAGUUCGGCCUUUAUGAUAGAGAAAAUCGCAGAUGAAAUAAGGCCAAAGUGAAUACGCGAGUACACAAAACGUGACUUGUAACCGCGUUUUGUGUAGGCGCGUUUUAUAGCCGAAAUUCUGCAAUUUGACUCAGCCAAUUCUCUUGUGUUCAUACCACUUUCCAGCUAUAAGAUGCAAGGGAAUUCGGUGCACAUGCUUCAGAAGACAAAAGGGCAAGAAAAGUGGCUUAUUUUCAAGUCAAAAAUAUUGGUUUUUGACUAUGCUAACAAAGUGGAGAUUUGGGAAUCAAAGGAUAGAAUUUGACUUGGAAAAAUGGAGCAUUUGAGUGUUUUUUAUGCAGAGAUAUGGGGAGAGAUCUGGGAACCAUUCGUAGCUUAGCUUCUUACAGAAAAACAUAGUCUCUCUAGCUAGGUACUUGCAAAGGACAAUUGAGGUUUCAUCUUGUAAUCAUCUAAGUUCAAGACAAGGAGAUUUUUGGAAGGCUUCACCAUAUCUUGGCUAAGACUUUCUUUACUCUUUUUGUAUUUGUAAAUUCAUGAUGAUUUGCAUUAAUGAAGUUAUGAGUGUUUCAUCAUUCAUGAGUAGCUAAUUUCCUUUAUCUAGGGAGUAGAUGAAGCUUAUGGCCAAAUGAUAUGAAGUGAUUGUGAUUUAUGCUUGUUAUGUCUUGUAUUAACUUAUCUACUUGUGUAUGUUGGAUUACUUGUGUUGCUUGAUCACCAAUAGCAGGUUUAUAGUUGUUUUUACUCAUUGAGAAAUGGUAAAAAUAAUGGAAUGACAUAAGUAGAGCUUGAGUAGUAUAUUCAUGAGAAUAGAAAUACAUUCAAGUGGAUGAAAUCUGCAUUUCAUGUGUGAAUAAGAACAGAUUUAGUAUUUACCAAGAGAUUAGGAAAAACUAAUCUGUUUUAACCCAUUAUUAUCAUGAGAAUGUGAUUUUGGUAUUUCUGGAAAUGAAUCCUUGGUUAAACAAGAGCAGUAACAAGUGUUGAAUUAAUUCAUUUUAGAUCUUUUGUGUUAUAAGUGGAAUCUACAUCCCUAGAUCUUAAUAUUUAGUGAAUUCUACUCCUAUUGUGAAAUUGCAUUUAUCUAUUUAAGAAUUUUUGUAGUUGAAUUAAAAUCUGAAGUUUCUGCUCAAAUUAAUUGUAAGUCUAAAUAAUAGAGUAAAUUAGUAUCUAAUAAUUGUUUUAAAUUGCUCCUCGUGGGAUCGACCCGAUACACAUCUCGUACUACAAUUGCGACCUGUAUACUUGCAGUCCAACGGGUGUAAAUUCGGAAUUAAACUUGCACUUAAAGUAAAAACCCGUCAGCUAUUGACUAUCUUAACAAUUUCAGAUUUGGAAAACAAAUGCAGCAAAUUUGGACCAAUGGAAAAGGAGCUUUUGGAGCAGUUUAUAUAGGGAGCAACCAGGACAUUGAGAAAUAGACGGGAGAAGCUUGGAGUCUGCAAAAAUGUAGCUUUUCCAUUCUCUUAUUGUUAGAUUAGUUUAGUAUAGAGUAGUAGUUCAUCCUUCUUGUUUAUUAGCUAGGCAAAGAUGAAGAAGGAGAUGAAGAAGGCAAGGAAAGAGCUCAUGUGACAAGGGUUAUUUUUCCUUUCCAACUCUUUAUCUUUUGUAUUUGAUUCCAAGUUUAGCUAAUAUACAAGUUCUGGAUUUUGUGUUUAAUAUGUGUCUUUAAAGUUUAUACCUUGGGUUUGGUUGAACUUUCUAUGAUUGUUAGUGUUAAUCAUUUGGCUAUUUAACUGCUAUGUUUUGAGCAAGUUAUUUAGCACUUUGGCUCUUUAAAUCAUGAUUAAUCUGGUACCAUUAAUUCUGAUUAUCUAAGGUGUUGUUUCUGCAAUGGAAAUUGAGAUUUAACACUAGUUCAAGAAGUGCUAAACAUAGGGAGUACACUCACGAAAGUAGAGGUGCACCUAUGUGGUUUUUAGUGAUUCAUUUCAUGUAAUUUCACUGAAGAAAUGAACUUGUAGCUAAUUUCAUAACCAUGAGAAUAGGUAUGGAUUAGUUAUAAGUAUAAUUGAUUCACUACGAAAGUAGGAUUCAAAUGCAUAAGGAAAUUACACCAUAAUUAGCCUAGAUGUAGUAUUCAAUGAUUCAAAUAUAACACUUGCAUGAGUAGUUAGGGAUACCACAACCUAAGGAGCUUUUAUUUGUUAAUUUCUUGUAUAAGUGCAGUAGGUUAAAUUUCUUAUCAUUAAUUGAUAGUCUAAAUAAUAAAGAAACUUUAGUAAUACCGGUAAUUGUUCACUCUUCCCUGUGGGAUCGACCCGAUAUAUACCCUAAACUACUAGUUGAUCUGUAUACUUGCAGUGAACGGGUGUAAUUCGGUAUUUUUUAGCUUGCACGUAUGUAAAAUACCCGUCAAGUUUUUGGCGCCGUUGCCGGGGAAGAUUUGGCAAUAUCGGUGUGAAGAGCAACUUUAUUAAUUUAGACAAUUUUUCUUAUUUUUGUUAUUUUUGUUGUAUCUUGUGUGUUUUAUGUCAUUUUUUUUUUAGUCAACUUUUAUUAUUAUUAUUAUUUUUUUUUUCUGUUUUAGUUUGUGUCUUGGAAUCUAUCCUUCUUAACUAAUCUUACUUUUGAGAUUGUUUAAAAGUAAUUUUAGAUAAUGAGGAGGGUAGGUGAACUGGGAGGACAAAGCUUGAGAAAUGAAAGAUUGGCAAUGGAUGGUUACCUAGUGCAAAGCUCCUUCAACAGAGGUAACCAAGAAAUUACUGAAGGUAUGUUUUUUGAAGAUGGUAUAAGGUGCUUAAAGGCUAAAUUUGAUGUUAUGAUGCUACAAGUUCAAAUGGACAAAAUUGUGCAGGAAAUUGAACAAAGGAGGAAUGCAAAUGUUUUUAAUUCUUAUCAUGUGAUUUGUGACUUGUGUGGAGAUUAUCAUGCUUCUAAUACAUGUAGACAAGCACAAAAUAUGGAUUAUUAUGAUGAAUUAGAGCAUUACAAUCCUUGUUUUGAUCGAUAUAGUGCUAAUUUGAGCAAUUCUCCUGCUUAUGGUUGGAAUAAUCAAUGUACUUAUAGUAAUUCUUCAUAUUUUUAUGAUUACCAACCUGAAUGUGUCCAAUAUGAAUCAAAACCAUCUUGGGAGUUGGCAAUUGAAAUGGUAGCUAAUGAUUCUAAGCCAUCUUGGGAGUUAGCUUUAGAAAAAUUAGCUAAUGCAACUUCCAACCGUUUUGAUAGGAUUGAGGAAAGAAUAGAUGAAUUAACUUCUCACUUUGGCAGAAUAAAUGAGCAAUUGAAUGCAUUGUGUGAGGUUAUUUCUUCUAAUAAAUUGCAAAAUGAUCCUAGCAUGAAUGGUAAGAAUGUUGUAUGUGAAAAUGGAUUGCAUGUUGAUGAAAAUGAUGAAUCUCAAUUGUGUUUCAAUGAGCAAAUGUCCAUUUCACAAGAUAAUAUCUUUGGAACUAACUUUGAGGCUCAAGAGGUGAGUUUUAAUGACUCAUUUUUCACCCCUCUUGAGGAGUGCAUUGAAAGUGUAGGUUCUAAGGGUAUUGCUGCCCAAGAUACUCUCAUGGCAUUCCCGUUGGUAAGUUCUCAAGUGGUGCAUAUUCAAGGUAAUAUUUAUGAAACACUUGGAAUAGGUAAGCCACUUCCAUUUCUCACAUCAUUAGAUUAUGUGGCUUUCGCGAUAAAGCCACCAUUUAAUGAUCCACCACGACAAAAAAUGGUGGAUUAUUCGUUAACUAAGCCUCCUUGAAAAAUGAGGUAGUCAAGCUAUUGACUUUAAAGAAGCGCUUAUUGGGAGGCAACCCAAUGUUUGUUUAAGUUUAUGUUAUUUUGGGGUGAUUUUAUGUUUAAAGUAUAUGUUUGAGUUAUUUUGUUAUUUUUCAUUUGUAGGUAUUGGAAAUGGAAGCAAAAGUGACCAAAUGAGGUUAAAAAGGCGAAUUUUGAUCAAGGAACUCAACCCCUCAAUUUGAGUAAUUGUUGUUUUUGAUUUGUUAGAAGGGGUUAAAAUGCAUAUUUUGAUCAUUUUACAUGUGCAUGUAUUGAGUAUUUUAACAAACAAAUGAUCUAUGAUGCAUUUUGAGUGAUUGGGGUAUCAUUUGUAAUUUUUCAAAGUUGGCUUUCUGCAAAAAUUUCGCAGAAGAAAACGCAUUUUGGCUGAAAACGCGCCUUAGAAUCGCGUUUUCCAUAAUCGCGUUUUCAAUUCUGCGCCUAUACUGAAGAAAACGCGCCUUCAAAACGCGACAGGAAGUCGCGUUUUCUAACAAGUCGCGUUUUACAGCCUGAUCAAAAAUUGAAAACGCGACUUUAAAUACGCGACUCCAAGUCGCGUUUUAUAACACAGUCGCGUUUUAGAUCCUGCAAGAUAUGUGAAGAAACGCGACUUCACAAAACGCGGCUUGAUGGCGCGUUUUGAUGAGUCGCGUUUUCGGAGCAAAAAAAAAAAAAAAUGCACAUUCCUUGAUUCUCUUUUUUCUUCUUUUCCUUAUAUAUUUUCUUGUACCUUCAGUUUCUUAUUGUGUAUUUUUUAUAGGUACAUCACCAAAACAAGGGCUUGAAGUUACGGAUCCCCAUUUUGUUUUCUUAAGCCUUUGUUAUCACUUUUGUUUCUCAUUUUCCAUUUUUAGGUUUAUAUCACUAAUGGUUACCAAAUGGAACUCAUGAAGCGAUGAAGACAAGCGAACAACGUACCUUGAAGCUUCAUAUUCAAUCACAACAAUAGGGGAGUAUUAUUUUUCUUUAUUUUCAUUUUCCUUUUUACACAUUGAGGACAAUGUGCAUGUUAAGUGUGGGGGGAGAAUUGAGAUUUUAUAUAUUGUAUGUGAUUGACUUAUUAGUUGCAAAUAUUGGACUUGUGUUAAAAUUCAAAAUUUUUCUACAAUCUUGUCCAAAAUUGCAAACUUGCCCCAAAAAAAGUUUCAAUUUUUUCGAUUUUAUCCAAAGGGGUAACAAGUUUCAUACCAUUAGUAGUUCAAAUUUCUUCUACAUUUGAGAUAAAUAUAUGUGAUUUGGAAACUUCUUUUCUCAUUUAACUUGGAAAUGACUAUUAUGUGAUUAUAAUUUUGCAUUUGUAGGAAAAUAUAUCUUGUGAAGUGGAGAAAAUUAUGCCUAUUUUUUUUUUUUUUUUUGCAUAUUUAAUGAAAUUUCUUUUUUUUUACUUGAUUUUAUAUAGUUAAGUGAUCAAUAUGGUCAAUAGGUGCAAUACUCUUCUCAUGAUUAUUCUUUUGAGGAAUUUAUGUUAAAAAAAAAAAGAGAAAAAAAAAAGAAGAAAAAAAAAGAUUUAUUCUACUCCAAUGAUUCUUGUACUUAGUAACCGGGAGUCUUCAUCUACAAAUGUCGACUUUCGCGUAAAACGGUACUUGAAUUAAGAGUAUGCAAAGCAACUUGAGUAUGUGAAGUGUUGAGUAACCGGUGAUCUUCAUCUAAAAAUGUCGAUUCUCGCGUCAAAAGGCAUUCUCACAUCUUAAGUAAUAUUUAGCUACGUUAUAUGAAUAAAUAUCCUUUUAAGUAGAAUAAAGAGAUGAUCAUGAGUUUAGGAAGCAUUAUUAUUGACCAUAUGAAUUACUUGCUUGUGAAAUUGGGAAAGGAUGAGAAAUGGAAUUAAACUUGUUAUAAUUAUGGUAUAAUUGGCUCUCCUUUACUUGAUAUUAUGAGUACUUGAACUUAAUUGAAUAAUUGCAUAAUGGUUAUUUACUUUGUUUUGAGGAAAUGAAGUUGAAAUGCUACAUAUGCUUAUUUUCAAAUUUUGGAUCAUUGUCGGUUUGUAUUUCUUAUUGCUUGAGGACAAGCAAUGGUUCAAGUGUGGGGGUAUUUGAUAAGAGUAUAUUUUACGUAUUUUUAGUGUGUUUUAUUAGUUAAUUUUGGUUUGAUUAUUUAGUUUAAUAACUAAAAUAACUAAGGUUUUGGUAAAAAACUACAUUUUAUGUUAAAAUGGCUAAACAUUGCAUUUUAUGUAUUUUUAUGGUAAAAACUUCAUAUUUUGUAGGUUUAAUGAUUCAAUCAUCAAAUGAAGUGCAUUGAGAAGAUAUUUGGAUGAUUGAAGAUGGAUUAAAGUGGUGAAAAUAAAAUAUGAAGUGUAAAAAGGAAAAAUGCAAUUUGAAUCAAGAAAAGUCAGGUUUUGACAACUCUGACACGUUUUGGUAUUUUGACUAUAUAUGGAGCUACACUGAUCGGAUCAAGGUGAUCUUGGUACCAUUUUGAAGCUAAGAGAUAUAUCUACAUUUGGUAUGAAGACAUCAAAGUCCAAUUCAGCCGUUUUCAUAGUCCAAAAGUUGAAAUACCGAAAUUCAACUCAGCUGUCCAAAGUGGAAAACAGAGUUCUGACCAGUCUUUAGUAUUUUGGUCAUAUCUCAGGCUAAAAAGCUCCGAUCUGGAUGAUUUUUAGAGCAUUGGAAAGCUAACUCAAAGAGCUACAACUUUGAUGUUUUUCACAAAAGCCAGUUCAGCCUUUAUGAUAGAGAAAAUUGCAGUUGAAGUAAGGACAAAGUGAAUACGCGAGUACACAAAACGUGACUUGUAACCGCGUUUUGUGUAGGCGCGUUUUCUGGCCGCAAUUCUGCAAUUUGCUCAGUCAAUUCUCUUGUGCUCUGACUACUUUCCAUCUAUAAGUUGCAAGAGAAUUCGGUGCACAUGCUUUAGAAGACAAAAGGGCAAGAAAGUUGGCAUAUUUUCAAGUCAAAAACAAUGGCUAUUGACUAUCUUAACAAUUUCAGAUUUGGAAAACAAAUGCAGCAAAUUUGGACCAAUGGAAAAGGAGCUUUUGGAGCAGUUUAUAUAGGGAGCAACCAGGACAUGGUCUAGAAAAAAGGGGAAAUAUACGGGAGAAGCUUGGAGUCUGCAAAAAUGUAGCUUUUCCAUUCUCUUAGUGUUAGUUUAGCUUAGUAUAGAGUAAGAUAGUUCAUCCAUUCUUGUUAUUAGCUAGAUAAAGAAGAAGAUGGAGGAUGAAGAAGGCAAGGAAGAAAGCUCAUGUGACAAGGGUUAUUCCUUCCAACUCUUUAUCUUUUGUAUUUGAUUCCAAGUUUAGCUAAUAUACAAGUUCUGGAUUUUGUGUUUAAUAUGUGUCUUUAAAGUUUAUACCUUGGGUUUGGUUGAACUUUCUAUGAUUGUUAGUGUUAAUCAUUUGGCUAUUUAACUGCUAUGUUUUGAGCAAGUUAUUUAGCACUUUAGCUCUUUAAAUCAUGAUUAAUCCGGUACCAUUAAUUCUGAUUAUCUAAGGUGUUAUUUCUGCAAUGAAAAUUGAGAUUUAACACUUAGUUCAAGAAGUGCUAAACAUAGGGAGUACACUCACGAAAGUAGAGGUGCACCUAUGUGGUUUUUAGUGAUUUAUUUCAUGUAAUUUCACUGAAGAAAUGAACUUGUAGCUAAUUUCAUAACCAUGAGAAUAGGUAUGGAUUAGUUAUAAGUAUAAUUGAUUCACUACGAAAGUAGGAUUCAAAUGCAUAAGGAAAUUACACCAUAAUUAGCCUAGAUGUAGUAUUCAAUGAUCCAAAUAUAACACUUGCAUGAGUAGUUAGGGAUACCACAACCUAAGGAGCUUUUAUUUGUUAAUUUCUUGUAUAAGUGCAGUAGGUUAAAUUUCUUAUCAUUAAUUGAUAGUCUAAAUAAUAAAGAAACUUUAGUAAUACCGGUAAUUGUUCACUCUUCCCUGUGGGAUCGACCCGAUAUAUACCCUAAACUACUAGUUGAUCUGUAUACUUGCAGUGAACGGGUGUAAUUCGGUAUUUUUUAGCUUGCACGUAUGUAAAAUACCCGUCAAUAGCUUAAGUGAUAUUUGUUUAACUAAGUUCAUGUCCGCAUCUCACGUGUACCUCCAAAGGAAGAGAAUUUCAAUUGCACUCUCGAAACUAGCAAUGCCCAAUUUGCACCCAACUAGACAGUUAAAUAUCUUUGUCAAUGAGAUUUAACUUUCUGCCAAAGGUGAAAUCCAUUCCGGUUCAAUAGAAAAAAGUUCUACAUUCUUUAAGGAUUUUGUGCUAAUUCCAAGGAACGGCUUGGGUAGUGGUGCGGCAGUCCAUGGCUGCCAUCUGCCCACCUGAUGGAGGGCAGCCUGCCCCUCCUACCUUUCAAUGCAAAUCCUUUUCAGAGUUGUUCACGAAGAAUUCACAGCAGCCGACGCUAUCCUUUGCGGCACAGGAGGCUACACACAAAGGGGAACCUGCGUUGAUU